This 59186-nucleotide long non-coding RNA is filed under the name Medicago truncatula (barrel medic). Its description in RNAcentral is "long non-coding RNA (MTRU_LNC002098)". The stretch from base 1636 to 1746 matches the Rfam family "MIR5284 microRNA precursor family". Lineage: Eukaryota; Viridiplantae; Streptophyta; Magnoliopsida; Fabales; Fabaceae. The record is from RNAcentral.
AAUAAUGAUGAUGAUGAUUAUGAUGAUGAUUAUGAGAUAUGGAAACAAUUCAAUUUAACUAAGCAUAACACAGAAGGUGGUCAUGGUCAUGAUAACAAUAACACUAUGUUGAACUUUCAGCAAGAUGAUGAUAUUAUGGCGGCUGUGGAAGCAUUUAGAGCAAGCGGUGGUUUUGAUAAUAAUAUUAACACCCCUCCUAUUUCAACAAAUGUUCUUCAAGUUCUUGAGGGUGGUGAUCAUCAGGAAAAUUUGGAUGGAAGCAUGAUUUGUAACGUGAAUCUCGAGGAGAAUAAGCAUUAUUGGAAUAGCAUACUUGGUUUGGUUAAUGAAUCUGAUGAUAUGAACAGUAUCCUAUAACGAAGCUAUUGAUCAUAGGUAGAGCUAGCUAGCUAGCUAUAGUAGCUGUUUGGCUAUAGGGAGUACUUAAUUAGGAUAGUUCAAUGAGUUGAUAAUAAUGCAAUGUCGGCUUCAUUUGGACCAAAAAACACGUCUUAGUUGUUACCUUAGCUUCUUCUUUGUUGCUGUUUUAGGAAAGAAAAAAUAAUGUUGUUUAAUUACUAGUAUUAAUGAUCAAUUUGAAUUGUUUAGUGAAAAAUGUAACAUGUAUCCUAUCAUAAAUUUUACAGAUUACUUAUAUAUAGGAUGGAGUGCAUUAUCCUUACUAAUUAACAUGUUACAUAUCAAUAAUUAUAUUGACAUUUCUUGCUAAUAAACUCUAUCAGAGAGUUAUUAAAACAAGAUCAAAUUAAAGACACCUUAAACUUAAACAAAAGAUUCAUAUAUAGUCGAUUAGGUUGUCUACAUAUUUGUUAUGAUUGUGGUCAAUCAUGUUAAAGAGUCUUACCUCAGAUAAAAUAAAACAUGAACAUGUGUUUAUAAGUAGGGGUGGUAAACGCGGUUUUACCACCCGGCUGUCUAGGCUCAACCGAUAUUUUCUUUGUAUCGCUACAAGAAAUUUGACUUGUAGUGACAGCCAAUAUCCGUCACUAUAAGACAAAUUUUCGUAGCUAAAUUUGUAUGUCAUUGCCAAAUGACUGUCACCCAUGUUUUCCUCCUUUACCUACGGACAAAACGUAAGUAUUUCUAAGAAGACCAUUUUAAAAACAUUAUGGACCUCUACCUAUACGGUUGCGGCUGUCAUUAAAACAUAUCAUUUUUUUAUUUAUAUAUUUUCAAUUCUACUAUAAAUUCUAAAAAUGAAUAAUUCAUAAAAUUACCACUAAAAUUAAUUUAAUCAAUAUAAUAAAAUAUUAUAAUCAAUAUCAUUAAAAUUUGAAAUUGAUUACUAUAAUCAAUUUUUAGAAUAAAUUCUUGAAGUGACUUAACUAGAAUAAUUUUCCAUAACUAUGAACUAUUAUACCAUUCACCCAAACCAACUCAAUACUCACAAAAAUACUCAAUACUCACAUAAAUCAAAAUCUAUAUAUACUCCAUUGCUCAUUUAAUUUAGGGUAAAUACUCUUUUCGUCCCUGUAAUAUUAGCGAAUUCCGGUUUUAGUUCCUGUAAAUAAAAAAGAUUUAGAUUUUGUCCCUGUAAUUUCAUAUUCUUCCACUUUUGGUCUCUCCUUUCAUCACGUCAACAAAACCUGCAUCAAUUAUGUCCAUGUAAUUUCAGAUUCCUCCCACUUUUGGUCCAUGUAAUUUCAGAUUCCUCCACUUUUGGUCCCUCAUUUUACGUGCCAAGUAUGCAGAUUCUGUUGACGUGGUGGAAUGAGGGACAAAAAGUGGAAGAAUAUGAAAUUACAUGGACAAAAUCUAAUUAUUUUUUUUUACAGAGACUAAAACCGAAAUUCGCUAAUAUUACAAGGACGAAAAGAAGUAUUUACCCUUUAAUUUAUGGUAACAGAAUUUGAAUCACUAUUCAUAAUAGCUUAUUAGACAAAUGACAGAAUAUCAAGUUACAACUUACAAUCACUUCAUACCUAAAAAAACUUACAAUCACUUCUACAAUGGCAUAAUAAAUCAGAUUUUAACUUCUAAUUUGUGGAUCUUCAACAAUAGCGGGUGCAUGAAAGCUAUUACCAACAUUAACAAAAGUUGGAAGUCCACCAGUUAUCAAGCCCUGCCAAUAAGCUAGUAAAAUAAUCUUAUAAGCUCGUGAGAAAGAAUUGUUACCAACAAGAUCAACGAUGUGUGGUUCAAUGACUUGAUGAUAUGUUACACCGAGUGUGAGAUAUUCAAGUCACUUGAUGAUGUUGAUAUUAUUCGAACAUUCACCGCAAAGAGGUCUCGGAAAGGGCAUUUACCUCCUAAUUUUAUUUAGUACACUAUUGACAAGUUAUGUUUCAUCUCUCUUAUUUCAAAUUGUACUUUUAUCGACAAAAUGACGAGUCUCUUUUAUUUCAAUUUUUGAUUAUUUAUAUAUUAUGUCGCAUGUGAUUUACGGUCAAAUUUUGCUCGCGCUCGAUAAAAUUCCUGGCUACGCCACUGUUUAUAAGUGGAGACAAUCUUCAUCUCACAAGCUGCAGUUUUGUGGGAUUGUGAUAGGCCCAAAUACAAUUUCUAAAAUGACAUCAGAGUCUCUCCAAGAUCUAUUGACCACAUGCUAUUAGGUUUCUGCUAUCGGACCACCUACCAUUUAUGUCUACAAACCAAACCCAAUAGGGCUAGUCGUGAGGAUGUGUGUUAAAGAGUCUCACAUUGGAUACAAUAAGGCCUGGACAUGUGUUUAUAUGUGGGAGCAUCUUCACCUCAUAAGUCGAUUUUGUAAGAUUAUGUUAGGCCUAAACACAAUUUCUAAAAAAUCACUAAGAAAUCAUUUUAGAUAAUGAAAAUAUAAACCUUAGCGUUGUAUCUAUAAUUGGACUAUCAAUUCCCUUAUUUUUAAAAAAGAAAAAGUCCAUCUAUAAUGUGAAAGUACACAACAGAACCCUCUACUUUAUAAAAGAAAUAAAUAGGUGGCUUAAAAAAAAAAGCAGAAAUAAAAAGGUCACAGCCCAUGUAUAUUUAUCCUUGUAUUUGUGUGUAUAUUUAAACAUAUUCACUGUUUUUCAGAAAUGAGGUCGUACAUAGUCAUUGUAUUAAUGGUUCCGCUGAGUUUAAUUCAGUUCGUGCGGAUAUUGCAUGAUAUAUAUCGGAGUUUGAACUUCAAACAUCUUAUUUAUUAACUUAAAAAUAUGAAUUUUUAACUACUAAACUACUUGAUUAAAAAAAAAAAAUUGUAUAUUAGUUACUUUCGUACUAUAAUAAUUGUUUGUGGUUUCUUGAAUCCAAUAAUGUAAUUGUGAUAACAAUAAUGUAUGUUAAACCCAUAUACGAGAUACGAUACGGAUACGAUACUGCACCGAUACGUCGAUACGGGAAAAUUUCAAAAAUUAAGAUACGAUACGACUGGGAUACGUUAAUAAAAAAAAUUAUAAAAUUUAAUGUACAAUAUAAUUAUAACCAUUUUUUUAAUAUACAAAUAUAUUAACAAACAAAAUAAACCAGUCAUAGGCUCGUAGCACAUCAACAUAAAUAUAAAUAAUAGUGACGAUUAAGAGAGUGAUGAUUAGUCAAUUACAUACACAAUAUAUCCCAAAAAGAGCACCAUAAGUGCUAUACUAUAUCUAAAAGGAACAUUGUUAGUGCUAUACAUAUCGAUCCAAAAAAGAAGCACUAUACUCAAGAGUUAAGUUAUUUUAAUUAACAUUAAUUGGGAAGUAUUGGGGCAGAUAUUGUUACAGGAUAAUUAUCGGAUACUCUCCUGAUACGUAUCGGGAAGUAUCGGAUAAUUAUUUUUUUUAAAAAUAAAAUUUAAUCUUCGGAUACUCUUCUGAUACGUAUCGGUGCAGGAUACGCAGGGAAUACGAUACGUCAUCCAUUUUAAAGUAUCGAAGCUUCACUAAUCUUUUAACUUUAAGACUCCAUGUUUCUCACUCCUCAUAUAUAACAUGUAUCCUUAAUAUAUGUUGAAUUGCAAUGUACAUAUGUUAUCAUUGCUCUAAUGUUCUUUCCUUUUCAUAUCAGGUUGAAGAACCUAUGAUCUGGCUGGUGGUUGCAGUUGUGGAAACCGAACACUGUUGUGAUCAGAUUUGUUUUUGAAUUGCUUGCUAUAUACUUUGAUAUUACUUCUCUUACUGAAACUGAAAAUUGUUCCCUUGCAAUUUCUGUCAAUUAGUGCAGGUUUUGACGUCAAAGUGAGUAUAUAACUUCUGCAUGUGUGUUUUCUCAAACCUUGCUGCAGUUAAUUAUAUUGUAUUGUUUAGUUUCGAACACAAUUUCAGUGCAAUGUUGAUUUAAUUGGAUAUGUUAUUGAAAAACAAAGUUGUCCAAUCUUAUUUGAUGUUCAUAUCAUAGUUUAUUGUUUUUUUAUUGUAACUAUAUAGUCCCUUGACUGGAUGUAUCUCAGAAUGUUGUGAUUAAGAUUAGUUGAUUAAUUUUUAAUUCAAUUCAUAUAUAAUGAUUGUUGAAGAGUAUAUAUAUAUAUAUAUAUAUAUAUAUAUAUAUAUAUUUAUAAUUUAGGUGUCUUUUCUUAAUUCAUCCUUUUCUUGGAGAUUACCUUCUAAUAGUUAUUUGUUCCUCUUAAAGAAAUAUCAUUAAGCCUCUUGAUUUGAAGGAUUUGUUGCCGUCCAAUGAAGUUCAAAUUUUUGGCCAUGCAAGGUCAUAGAUAUCUUAUGAUUAUGAAUGCAGAAACAAAUCGCAUCGGUGAGUAUUUUUAGAAAGAAGAAAAAAAAGAUUUACAAUAGUUUUCAAAUGUAUUUAGCAGAAGAUAUUUUUGACUGAAAAUGUUUAUAUUCUAUCUAACUUUGUUCAUCAAGGUUGUAAUUUUUGACUGAUAUUAGUUGUAAUUUGGAGAAAAUAUAUAUCUUCAUUUGCAGAGUCCAAUAUCAUUGUUUUCUAUGCGGUAAGUAUUUUAUCAAUGCAAUAUCAUUGUUUUCCUUUCUAUUAUUAUUAGUGACAAAAUCACCAUUGAACAUAUCUUUCACAAUCAUUUUUAACUUGACUAGGUGCUUUAUUUCAACUUAAAGAAGUAAAUUCUAUGGGAUAUCUUAUCUUAUCUUAAUCUUAAUAUUAUAAGAACCGUUAAGUGUUGCAAGUCAACCCUAGAUAAACCUAUUCAAGCCUUUUGCAUUUUAAGCUGCAAGUUCCAUGGGUGCCCAAAACCUUAAGAGUAUGUUUGGAUGGGAGAAUGUUUUGAGGGAAUAUUGUAAUGUUACGAGGGAAUUCAAAUACUGAGGUGAAUUCCAUUGUUUGGAUAAUAAUUUGAAGAAUUUUCAAAAUGAUAGAAAUUUACGAAGUAUUUUUUUUUUAAGAAAAAUUUAUAUUUCAAAUAACACCUAAAAUAUAAGAAUUUCAAAAUUCUUCAUUAUUAUAAUCUUUCAAAUUUUGCAUUUUGGUCAUCAAUUUUUUCAAUUUGACCCCAAAAAAUUAUAAAUUGACCCCUCAAAUUUUUCAAAAAUUAUAAUUUGAUCCCUCAAAAUUUUUGAAAUUUACAAAUUGACCCCUAAUUUUAAUUUUCAAAUUUGACCCAAAAAAAUUAAAAUUUAUAAAAGUUUCCCAAAAAUGAUGCCAUUGAAAUUUUUUAUUACUCCACCCAAACAAAAGUAUUGAGAAAUGAAUGGAAUUUAAUUGAAUCAUUUAAAUUGCCUAAAAUUUUAAAUUCUUUAAAAGUUUCCAAUUACCUCGUCCAAACGCACUGUAAGGUUUUUGAAAUGUGAAAAUUACUUUGGUGCCCUUCUGUUCAUACACUAUGUCUUGCCAUUACUUGGUUACCAAGUUGCUACUUUUGCAUGGAAGAUCAGCCUAGAGAACUGAGCACACAUUUUGUCGAUAUAGGCAUCAUGAUGCUUGGUGCAUUUAGGUCCUUGCUUGGCACAAGAAUGCCAUCUUCCUUCUAGAGAACUGAGAACAUGAUGCUUGGUGCAUUUAAAUGAGUGGCAUGUAUACACAAACCAUAUAACAUCAACAUUAUCCUGACAUUACCACCAGAAAUCCCAAUGGAACGAUUAGCCAAUUUUACCAUGUUUGCCAAAGACCGUGAAGCUGCAGGUGCAUUGUUGUCCAUGAAAGGUAUGGUAAAUCAAGUUGUGCCAUAAAUCAAGUUGUCUAGCAUCUGACAUCGUUUGUGCCAUAAUGUUUUUGAUGCCACCUGAAUUUGUAUUUGAUGGGAAAGAUCAUAAAUUUGAAUGUGAAUUAAUUUGAACCAUGCAGUUAAAAUCAUCUUAUCUAAAUUUAUGCUCGAGUUUAUGUUGUUUCUAUUGUAUUUGGUUAAAUCAAUCAUCUUAUUUGGGAGCUUUUGAUCUCCUGUUGACAGUUGAAGGUAAUGCUGGUCCAGAGAUUGACAGAGUUGUUAGAAGGGAUUUGAUUAACUUGAGAAUCUUCCACAUGGAGUAUGACAUGUGCUAUGUGAGUUGUUAUACAGUCAAACUGUGUUUUUGUUUAAUGUGUUAUAUGCCAUAUUGUUUAGUUCAUUGGAACAAGAUUUCCAUUGAAACACGUUCUUGAAGGUCAAUAAAUCCCUUAUUUAUUCCAUAUCUGGUUGGAGCCUUAGUUAGUUGCUAUAAUGGAUGAUACUCCAUUUGAUGUAUAUUAUGAUAUGUUAAACUUGAAAUCAUUUAAUUACUUUGCAACUGACUCACGUACCAAAGUAUUUGCUCACUGAUGAGUGUUUGUGUAGCGUAAGGGAAGGGAAGGCUUCCUUCUUCGUUUGCAAGAGGGUUUGGUCUACAAGUUGCUUCGUUUGUGUUGUUACGUGAUCCGAACCAGAAUGAGGUUAAGGUAGCUAUUGAAAAAGAAGAACGGGAGGGUUUAUUUUACUGAUGGUUGGACAUUUUUAAAGAGCUUUAAUGGGAUUUUGGGUGGUGCUUGGAUCACAAUUAUUUUUGCAAAUCGACAUCUUUUUCUGAUGGUGGUAAGAAAUCUGCAUGGAGUUUAAUUGGUGUAUCCUUGCUUCAAUCCUCCACGGAGAAUGUUGUCGCAGAAUCAAGGUACCAAUGAGUACAGAAACUCGGUAGCUCGAUAUGGUUCUAAUGCCAUUUUUCCUCCCACUGUUUUCUAUCACACAAUUGUCAAGGAGUUAACAGCUGCGGACAUUUCUUCUGGAGUGUUGGUGAGUUUUACCUUACACUUUUCUUUUAUGCUGCGGACAUUUCUAUCCCACUGUUUUCUAACUUGAGAUGCAUUUUUUAUUACAAUCAGAAGCUAUUUGGAAAUUGGUUAUGGAUUUCUGUCAUGAUCAAGAUUUGUCUUGUGUAUUUUCUGGUGAGUGGCCACCUCUGUGUGCAACGCCCGUAAGUUGAUGGCAGGAAUAAAGAUCAAACUUGGUGUCACGGGAGCAGAUAGCAAUAAGGUUGUGUAUCUAUGUGCACCUCCAAUGUUGGUGUUGAAGACAAAAUUGCCUCCAUCUAUAGGCAUUGGUGAAAAUGGUCCGUCUUAUCGAUUUGAGCAGCUUUUCUGAAAGAAUUAGCAGUGUUGAUUAUGUGGGGUCCUUUGCUUAUAUGAAUGUUUAGUAACUAGUAGCGUUAACAAAUUAUUACGUUGAACAUAUAUAUCGUUCGGUUUAAUUUAAAACGAUUACACAAUAUUGACCAAUAAUAAUUAAAUUAUUACAUAAGUUAUAAGUGACACAAAAAAGUAGUCGACACUUGAAAGAGCAAUUAAUCCAAAGAAAAAAAUAUUUCUUGAAGAUAGAUGCAUCAUUGCUUGAUAGCUCCAAAGUUAACUACAAAAUAAAACAAAGUUUUUUGAAUUUUAUAAAUACAGCUAAGAUAAUUCAAUUUUUAUUCAAAAUUCACUAUGAGGAGGAAGGUUCUGUAAGCCUCCCGUGUUUUUUGGGCAUAUGUUUGAAAGUAUCCUAAUGAAUUGGUAAACAAAGAGUGAGUCUUAAGUCAAAUAAUAAUUUUGUUUAUGUUACAAAGAUAAAUUAAAAAAAGCAAGUAAUUAUGGUUACCCAAAUUGAUGUCAGCCUUAUUUGUUUACCCAUAAGAAUAGUUGUCUCUCUAUCAUUUUAGUAACUAUUCAAGUUACACUAUGAGGAGGAAGAUUAUCAAAGCCUCGUAUUUUUUGGGGUUAUCCCAAUAAAAUGGAUAAACAUAAAGUGUGUUUAAGUCAAAUAGUAAUUUGUCUAUGUUUACAAAGAUUAAUUGAAAUAAAAUAAAGGAAGUAAAUAAACAAAAAGCAGCUAUAGAUAUCAAGUCUUUGAGCAACUCUCCAAGAACUCAUCUUUGGGGAAUAGCUUCCCUGUGCCGCUUUCCAACCACACAACCAGUGCAAAUAACAGGGGAAUCCUUGAGCACCGGUAAUCCUCAUAUCGUAGGUAUGUAAGUAAAACAUUAUUACUAUUGUAGGAUUAAGCAUCAAAGGUAAUUGACUUCAUUGUUGAGUUACUAUUGUUAUAUAUAAGAAUAAAAAAAAUAGGCAAACCAAGUCAUUAUUAAAGCAACAUAUUGUUUAAUUCUACUCAAGUAUAUCAUAAGUAUUGUCAAGUAAAUAAACAAAAAGCUGAUAUAGAGAUAUAAUAAAAGCUCACAAAACAUAGUUUUAAAACAUUGGUUGCAUAGCUCAGUAUAUAGAAAUUACUCAAUGUACUUAACCACAUUCAAGAGUUCUAAAACUCAACCACGCAACUUCAUUGGUCAUUUGCAACUAAGUUGUUUUAACAAAAUUCGAAGAGACACACACAUUGGUACUGACCUGAAUUAAGACAUGAGAAAACCAAACAUUGGAACUGACCCACAGUAUCAUCCAAUUUCCGCUAAACCAUCAAUCCUACAAACAUAAAAAAAACCUUAUUAGCAAAGGCAAGUGAAAUAUUAAUCCAUUAUAUUGAGCACUUUAGUCCCCUAACUUAAGAUCAGUACCUCGCCAUAAAAAUAGAACCAAAAGGCACAAACACAACACUAUAUAGUAUACCUUAUGAUUCCAUGCAAAUAACUGCUCCAACAAUCAUUCACAGGAGGAACCAAAUCUAUCAAGAAAGCAAAAUAUAGCUUUGUGUAAGUAAGUAUCACUUGUUAUGAAAUUAACAAAACAUGCCUUGCAAUUCUGUUGAAUGAAGUAAAGUUUUUAGAGAAUUAUAUGACUAUAAUUAUAGAAAAAGUUAAUGAAAAAAUAGACAAUGAAAAAAAAUAAGAUUCCUAAAAUAAAUAAUUUAUCAAUGUCACGUGAUUGAGUAAAUAAAAUUGAUCCCAAACCUGCCCAAUUGUUCACAUCAUUGCUUAAGCCCAAUAUAUAAUUCUUGAUUUUACAACUUCUCAUCGUCUACCUAAAAACUCUAUAUAAGUAUAUUCAAAUCUAAAAUCAAUAAAUUUAAUUUCACGACACUUGUAAAAUAAAUUAGAGGCCAAUCCAUACAAAGAACAUAUAGAUUAUGAACAUAUAUUUCAAAGGUGACCUAAAUUCUAACGACAACAAAUUAUUUGAUAAAGAGAUAUCAAGUAAAAUAGAAUCAAACAAAAGUGACAAUUUUGUGGACUAUUUAUUUUACACAUUUAACAGGAUCUUAGAUUUUCAAAAGCAUCUAAUGACUGCAAUAAUUUGUAUUAUCCAAAUAGGCUAAUAUAUUUGUGAACUGUUUUAUACAUUUACCAAUUUGAAGGUUGAAACAAUAGUGUUGUUGGAAAAUGACGGAUAGUUGGAUGCCUUUUGGAACAACUUUGAAUUUUGAAAAGGAAAUCAAAUUAAAUUGUGUGUUUCAAAAUUCAAACCAACUUACAAAUACAGCCAAGAUGUAGUGAGUAAUUAAUGUCCCUAUUCUGAUUUCUUCUGCAGAAGGAGGAUGACAAAAGUCAUUGAAAGUGCUGGCAUUCUGACUUGUAGUGUUCUAUCCAUUGACUCCCUUGAACAUGGUUUCAAAAAGUUCUAAUUCCAAGUGAUGUCAUCUGAUUGCAACAUUAAAAUAAAAUAAAAACACAUAUUUAAUUCACUUUUCAAUAGUGAGCGUACACUAUUUUAAGUUAUAUAAAAGAUUUAUAAGACAAAAUAUAUUCAUAAUCCAAUCAUGUAGCCAUAUAUCAUUUAAAUAUUCCUAAUUUUGUCAUAGCAUAAAACUUACAACUAAUUGUUUCAACUUAGCAUAAAAUCUAUCACCAAAUAGUUGUGUUUAUGAUAUGACACAAUUAACUGAACAGGGAGGGAAAUAGUGGGAAGAAUUACUCAAACUAACAACCUUUAUUAUUUUGAAUGUUUUCUCAAAAUUCAAAAUAUUAUGGAUCUAUAAAUCCGAAAGUGAAAAUGGAUAAAUCAUUACCUCCUCCCCAGAAGUGUGUGUUGCUAUCUCAUUCUUUCAUCUAGUAACAGAACCAACAUUUAAAACUACAAAAACAAAUAAUAUUAAUUUUUAUUGAGAUUUAUGAUAAUAUAAACAUAACCAAAAUGAGUUUUCGGAUGAAAGAGAGAGAAAGGAACUGAUGAUACCUCAGCGCGGUGGUCAAUGGUGGUAUCAAAAUUGAACUUGAUAGAAUGUAUAAAUGAAUGAGUUGCUUUUGUAGAGGAUGAAGAGAUGAAGAUGAUGAUGGCUUUAUUUUAGUGGGAGGAGGCCAAAAUUGAUAGGAAAUGAUGAAAGAAGGUAGAAGAAAAAUAUUUUCAUGGAUGGAGAUUUUACUUGAGAGAGAGUGUGACGAAGAAAGAGAGGUGUUGAGUUUUUGUGUGAGAGAGAAGAUGCGUCUCUUUGGUAAGAUUCAAAAGUGAGCUUAUAGCUAUAAUCAAAGAUUCAAAAAUGAGCUUAUAGCUGUUAAUGAUUAGGUUAUAAGUUCGUUUGACAAAAAAAGUUAUGUUUGACAAUGUCUUUUCAGUUCACCACAAACUUAUAGCUUAUUUCACGACUUUAUAAACUAUUUUUUAGACAUUAUUUCAAGUAGCGUUUGAGCUUAUAGCUUCUCACUUUUUCUUCCAAUUUUACCUUUAUUAUUUCAUUUAAAUUCCAUUUUUAUCCAUUACAAUUUAUUAUAAUAAGCUACGUAAUAAAUACUAUCCCUUUAUUACAAUUUUUGUAUAUAUACCAGCUGGCCUUUUUUUUUGUUUUGAAAAAAUAUAUACCUUCGAGUUACUUUUACUCUAUUAGUGUUACUUUUUUUUUUUUUUUUUGAGGUAAGUGUUAUUUUCUUUAUAAAGUGGAAACACUUAAAUGAUAAUAAAUUUUAAGAUAAAAUUUCAGUGAAUAAAAUUUAAUUUAAUUUAUAAUACAUAUGAUAUAUUAAAUUGAUAAAUUUAAAGUAUUUUUAAAAGAAAAAUUAGUUUACAAAAUUACAAAUACUUAAAUAUUAAUUGAUAUAAUUUUUAUUAUGAAUUAAGAAUACCCUUUUGUCAUUUUACAUUUAUCAGUUAGUUGAACCGUUAUUUUUAUCAAAAACUGCAGUUAGCUUAUCAGCUAUCAGUCAUCGGUUAUAAGCUAUCAGUUAUCCGGUAUUUUUACCAAACAGAGCCGAAGUGAGGAAGAAAAGGAAAUAAGUUUGGAAUGAAUGAGAGAGAAAAAAUAUAGAAAGUGAUGUUUGUUGGGAUAAGAGAAAAAGUAGGAGGGAAAGAAGGAUUUGAAAAAUUUUGAAUUUUGAAUUGAGGAGGGAAAUUGUGUGAUAAAGAUAUUUUAUUGUUUGUAUUGUGUGAAUGCUUAAAGUGGCAACUUUAAAAUUAUUUUUUAAUGGUGAUGUGACAUCAAGUGAUUUAGAAUUUUGACAUAUUGGACUGGUGCAAAAAAAUUUCCUAUUUGUGGCUUCACAUUUGUAUAUUAUUAAGAUUAAGAUAAGAUUAAGAUGUGUUUCUAUUAAGAGUUUGAGAUGUACUCUUUUCAUUGUGAGUGUUGUACUACUAUUUAGCGUUUUGGUGUCUUGAUGUUUAAGUAAUUAGUUAAGUAUGGGAUGUAAUCGUUGUUUUAUGUACUUUGUGGUGCCAAUUUGAGUAUUAAGGAAUGUUGUGCAUAUGUUUGGGUUAAUUUGAGUAUUGGACUGGCAUGGGUAAACCAUUUUCAUUUGAUAGUUCAAGCCAGCCAGCUCAGCACGUCUUCAGUCAACACUGGAUUGAUUGUUCAAGUCAAGCCAGCCAGCUCAGUACGCCUUCAGUCAACACUGGGUUGAUAGUUCAAAUCAAGCCAGCCAGCUCAUCUCAUCUUAACUUAAUACCACAUGUCCAGUACGGAUGGUCAUCGCGUUUCAACUCCACGCGCCCAGUAUGGAGGAGUUGCUUCCUAGUCCACACGCGGCCGUACUCAAAGCAGACAACCAAUAGGAGGCUCUGGAUCACAACUUAUUGGGCCUAGAAUGAUCAGAGAAAGGUCCAUUAAGCCAACACUUUGAGGGCUAUAAAAGGGGGAAGUUUAGAUGUGAUGGGACAGAUCCCAGAUAGUAAAAAACAUUGUAUUAUUCAUUUACUCCUGUAGAGUGCUCUUGAGACUCCACCUAGGACGUUUCACUGAGCAGCUCACCUGUUGUAAUUAACUUGUGUUUACAUACGUAAACAAGUAUUAAGGAAUGUUGUGCACACUAGACCAACAAUUAUAUAUGUCGCAGUUUAGCUAGGAUCUACAUAUGAUAUGGAAGAAUAUUUUGUAAGCAUCCCAGGAAGAAUUUCUAACCACAGCAGGCCUUAUGUGAUUUCCUAUUUUAUGUGGUGCAUUGAUCUGUUUACACUCCUUCAAGGAGUCUCCUUAACUUAGAACAGCGUAUGGGAUGCUUUUUUUUGUGUUGUUAACAUGUUCAACAAGUCUCUCUAUCUUAUCUCUUGGAGUACAUAGGACAUCCAUUAGGCAGAGAAUCCAUGUUCAGCAUUGUGUGGAAAUUAACAAUGAUUGCCUUACUUGAGACAUUCAAAAUAAGCAUGCUUAUGCCAUGUGUUGGUCAAUUAAUUGUACAUGAGAUAUUUUAUAAUGUAACAAAUGCUCUUGGGCAGUUUCUUAGUUUGGACUGUACAAUGGCCAUAAUCAUAACAGGAAUUUCAUUCUUGACAAUCUCCUCAAACCAUUGAAAUUGUUUCAGAUGCUUGCAAGGCACUUAUGGCAUAUAUCUUGAGCCAAUACAAAAUGCCCUUAAUAAGCUAAAUCUUUCGAUACAUCUCCAAAUGAUCUAAUAUGUGCAGAAGCUAUUAUUGCUUGAUAUAGGUGUCUAUUACCUCAUUCUUGCAUCUACAAACCAUAUACUUUGAGUUAUAAGAACCUGGUUUCGUAAUAAUAAUGGAGUAUUCCUCGAUAUAUGUCCAUAACAGGAGCUAAUCUUUUAUAGUAUCAAAUCUUCGUGCCCAACUACUUUUGGCUGAAGAAGGAGCUAACCACAUGAUGAUGUCUCUGACAUGGGUUUAGUCCACAGUCCUUCAUUGCCAUGAUAUGAGAUCAGGGUCCUGAUUAGAAGAGCAAGGUACCUCAUAGUGCAAGGCCUCAUUACUUCACGCAAUGGAUUCAUAUAGUUGUGUCUAUGUUAAUUAUAACGCUAGCCUACCUUAAUUAAUAGAAAUUUGCACAUUGUCUAAUAAUUGUUGUUUUAACGCACUAUUAAUUGUUUUAACAUGUUCAAUGUUGGACAUGUUAGACAAACCCUUCAAAUAUGGUAAUUAAAGAUAAACAUUUUGUGCAUACUUGAUAUUCAUCUAAAAUUAAUUUUUAUGUAAUUUUAACAUUUUUUUUAGUGAAGAUGUCAAUUAAUGUAAUUUUGAAUUGAGGAUAACUAAUCAAAUAUGGUUAAAACUUUUUCAUAUAUACUCCUUCCUUCCGUAUUUUAUUGUAUUUUAUUAUAAAUCACUUUGAAAAAAAUGUUUCAGUUUUAUUAUAAGUCGUUUUGCAAUAUCAUUGCAUCAUUAAUGAUUUUUUUUUUUCUAUCAUACCCUUGACCAUUUAUUGUUCUCCCUUCUUUCCAUUCUUUUAAUUUUUUUUCUCAUAAUUAACAAGGGAUAAUCUUGUAAAAUAAUUUAUCUUUAAAAAAAUAAUUUCUUACAGUAAUUUAGAAUGUUUAAAAGAGUGAUUGGACACAGUGAAAGCCUUAAAAGUUCAAGUGAUUGGAUGGAGUGAUAGCCAGUGACAACAAUAGGGUAAUGGACGUUGGUUCAAAUAUUCAAUAAUAAAUUUUACAUAAUACAAUUCCAUGCUCAUCUCACGGUUGGCCUAAGCCUAAGGCCGAAUAGAGCUAUAAAAAUAAAUGUCAUACAAAUCUACUAAUGUUUUUGAUAUAUACAAUAACACCACAUAAUAUAACAUAACUUUUCCUAUUAGGCUAACCAAGUCCUACAAAUUCAGACAGGUGGUACAUUGAAAUGAAUUAAAAACAUGACUAUGAAAUCCAAUAAUAUCUUCAAGUUGACACAUUUAUCAAGAUAGCAAAGAUGAGCGUUGGACUGCUUUAUAGUUUGUGUCAACUAUAGAUUGUAACAUGUGGAGUGGAGGAAUCAUAUCUUCAGCCAUUUAUGUUAUCUCAUUUCUCAAGUCUCAACCAGUUCAAUAAAAGCUUCACUUUGUUACUCACCCAUGCCAAGUGUCACUGUGUCAGUUUCCUCGUAGCAAAUAACACAUAUGACAACAAAAAAGGGAGAGCUCAAGUUGCUGUCAAAGUUUAUCAGCAAAUUGUCAGAUCAGAACCUGUCCAUUAAAGUCCAAAAUUAUGAUAAUAACAACCAAUAUUAACAACAGUAAAUGAAGACAAUGAUAGUCAUUAUUAUGGAUAUAAUGAUAGACAGUGAGUAAGUAGUACUUGAAAUUGUGAGAGUCAAUUAGUCUCUCAAAUUUAUGAAAUAACAAUUUAAUCUCUUAAAUUGAAUAAUGUCAGAUAACUUCAUACUUUUUUCAAAUUUCACACCAUAAUUAUAAAGAUUAUUGGGUUAAUAUGCGGUGUACAACUCAUUUGUAUGGCUGCUCUUCGCCAAAUGUGGAUGAUUUUCUGGACUCCCCUCGUGACCCAACAAUGGUAUCAAGGUUGAUGGUUCGACAAAGUGUUCAUCCGGCUCAUUGUGUCGACAGUCUUCCUGAGAAUGAUGGUCAGACAGUGUGUCCCAUUGAGUGCAGCAGCAAUGGUGGUGCAAGUAUAUGUAGAUGAAAAAAACUUCCGCUUGAGGGGAAGCCUAACUAGAUGAAUAGAAUGACUCACACUUGAGGGGGAGAUUGUUAUGGCAAGCGAGGUGAGUUAGAAGUCCCAAGUUAGAUGGAAAAGUGAGUGUUGAACAAUAUAUAAGUGAGAGAAUCCAUAAACAAAAUGCCUUAAGGUUUUGGGUUAAGAUGUGGUGUCCAACUCACUUGCGUGGUUGCUCUUGCCCUGAUGAGGAUGAUCCCCUGAGCUCCCCUCAUGACCCAACAUUAUGCUUGUCUUGAUGCAGCACGAGGCUACUGAAGUCAAUAUUUAGGUAUUUUAGUGGUUUUAACGAAUGUUUACUAAUGAUGAAAUAUUGUGACAGAGGGACUAAAUUGAUUGAUGUUCUUUAAUCGAAGGGACUAAAUAGCUAUUUUGUAAAAUUGAGGACUAAAUUGACUAAAUCUUACAAUUUCAAGGACAAAAAUGCUUAUUUACUCAAUGAGUUGAGGUCCUCUCCAUUUCUUGAAAGAAGUGGACAUCUCCAUUACUACAGUUUUGUGUAAUGAGUUAUAAGGACUAUGCAAACAAAACAAAAAUGGCAAUUUCAAGAAGUUCUGAAAAACAUAUUUCACCUUUUUGCUUAAAACUUAUGGCCAAAAGGAUGACCAUAGUUCCAUAAGCUCACUACUUCUUUAGAAAGUACACUCCAUCCCGAAGUUCUAACUUUUCCUCAGAGACUAGACCAGAUAAAAAGCUUUGUAGUUGUUGGAGUGAUUUGUCAUAAGGGGGAUCAGCAAUGCAAAACAUCUGUGGCAACGGAAAGAAUCAAUUUGUUGAUCAUGUCACGUGUGCUUAACAUUUAUAAAGGUGUAAAACCCUUUCUUUGUUGAAGGGUAUAGAGGUGAAAAACCAUUAUUACCUUGAGAGUAUUGUGAAUGCGAUCUAAUGCCAUGCUACCAAAGUUUGUGAGCAUCCCCAAGAUAAAUUUCUGCCAUAAAACAAUACAUGUUAGAUAUCUUUAUUCAUAUGCAUUUGCAUAUUCCCUUGUGAUUGAAUACUUCAAUAAACAUAAACGAGAAACUUGUGCAACCCAAAGUAACCAUCAUCAUAAGGCAAAAUAUUUAUUAUUAUAUAAUAAAUAUUCGAAAAACUAAGAGUAACAUGCUAAUGAUGAAAAAGAUGUUUAUAUUUAUUCAGGGACUUCAGUUCUCUUAUGGUGUUUGUUCAUUCAAUGGUUUUGCUCUUCACUACACAUGGAAAAUGAUAAAAAGCCAUUUUGUUGUCAAAAAACCAUUAAGAAUUACUACAAAUUCACCAAAGGUUAAAAUAACGUACAUUAAAAGGACUCUAAAAUGUUGGUACUAAAUUUUUUAUAAUUGAUUAAAAAUAUUAAAGCAAGUCACAAUAUGAAAUGAAGAGCUUUAUUUCAUGUACCUCAUACACAGUCAUCUCCUUCCGAAGUUGAUUUUCUACCGAGGCCACAGAUCUGUCUUCCUCUUCAUCACCUCCAAGAAGUUCCUGAGCAUUGCCACUGCCGCCUCCAUUCCUACUUGUCUCAGCCAUGUUUUCCAUAAUAGUGUAUACAAGGUCAGAGGAAUCUCCCCCCGACGACUCUGCAAUGACCCCCUGUUACAAAAACACAGCCGCGAGUGAAGUUACAUCGUCACUGCUAAAUUUAAGACUAGCAGUUUUAAAAUAACUAGAAUUCUUGUUUUGGACAAACCAACAGAAGUUUCCUAAUUGGGCAAGAGAUAAUAUUUUUCUCAUAAACUAAAUGUAACCAUGCUGCAAAAGUGUUUGUACUAAUACCUGAAAGUAUACCAAAAAAAAUUAUACAAGAGGCCUAACAGACUCACCUUGCUUAUCCAAAAAUUUAUUCUCCUAUUUAACACAUCCACAGGUAUCCCAAUAGCAGCUGCAAGGUGUUUAGAGGUCCAACUGAAAGCAGAAACAUAAUAUUACAGUACAGUCAAAACAACAGACUAAAUGUAUCGAUAGAUUUUUAGGAUACCUCGUUUGAUCUUGAAAUUUCAUAAUAAUAGAUGCAAGAACAGGGGCUACUGUGAAUUGCAUUUCCCUAUCUUCAAACUGCAACUCCAGCUAUACCAUUGGACAUGACAAAAUUAGGAGAAAGAUAGAACUGUAAGGGACAACACCACUAAUCAAAUUAAAAAACUGUGCUAAAUACCGCUAGACAAUAAGAUCUGGAAGGAAAAAAAUAGAACAACUAACCUUGACAGUCCCAAGACUUUUUUUCCACUGAAGCUUACGGGGUGUUUUGACUUCACUAAAUCUCUUCGCAUAAUCGGAGAGAAGCUUGUCAACAGGUUCCGGCAGGUUAAGGGGCUCAUCCUGUAAUUCUCUUCGAAGUCAGUCAUAGAACAGAGUGGAUAGCUUCGCAUGACAACAAAGAAAGACAACAACAACCAAGCCUUAUCCCACUAAGUGGGGUCGGCUACAUGGAUCAAAUGACGCCAUAGUGUUCUAUCAUACACCAAAUUUGGAUCCAACUCAUUGACCUCUAAAUCCUUUCUAAUAGUUUCUCUAAUAGUUUUCCUAGGUCUUCCUCUACCUCUUUUAACUUGACUCUCCUCCAUUUGAUCUACUCUUCUUACCACGGCAUCUACGGGUCUUCUCUCUACAUGCCCAAACCAUCUAAGCCUAUUUUCUACCAACUUUUCUACUAUAGGUGCUACCCCCACUCUCUCUCUAAUGGUGUCAUUCCUAAUCCUAUCCUGUCUAGUCUUACCACUCAUCCAACGCAACAUCCUCAUCUCUGCUACACUUACUUGAUUCUCAUGUUGACUCUUAACCGCCCAACACUCCGUACCAUACAACAACGCCGGUCUGACUGCUGUCCGAUAGAACUUUCCUUUCAACUUAAGUGGUACUUUCUUAUCGCACAAAACAUAUGAGGCUCUUCUCCAUUUCAACCACCCAGCUUGAAUAUGAUGGCUUACAUCUGCUUCUAUUUCUCCGUCAUUUUGUACGAAGGACCCAAGAUAUUUAAACCGUGUAAAUUGGGGUAUGAUAUGAUCUCCAACUUUCACCUCCAAGGUAGACCUACUUCUCCUUCCGCUGAAGUUACAUUCCAUAUACUCUGUCUUGCUUCUACUCAAGCGGAAUCCAUACGCUUCUAAGGCUUGCCUCCAGGUCUCUAGCCUCCCGUUUAGUUCCUCCCUCGACUCACCCACCAAGGCAUGACAACAAAGCAAUUGAUAAAACUAUAUUUUCGUUGAACAAUUCAUUUUAUUGAAAAUACUAGACUAUAUUAUCAUAGUUAUUAAUGUUAUGCUUCAAGUUGAGAACAGUUCAAAAUAAAACAAGAGAUGAUAAAAGCAGAGCUAAUUGAACUUCAGGAAACGAUAACUAAUAAGACUAUGAAAUGCUAAAGCAAAUUCAUGCUAGUUUGAAGAAACUCUACAUGAGUUUACAUGGAACAACAAUGAAAGAGAAUAUCAAUAAUUUUUUGAAUUAUUUUAAGCUUCAUGAAAAAAAAAAAAAAAUAAUCAAAAUUUUAAACCUGAUUUGAUAUGUUUUUACUUUCCUUUUAUGAAAGAGAAGUUUGGAUAUUGUGUAGCAUCAACUUCUUGCAUAUACAUAAUGAAUAGUUCGUUUACUUUUGGAAAAUACAAUGUUUAUUCAACAUAAUAGACAAAUGUAAAAUAUACAAGUGAUGAAUGACAGUGGAAACAUGGUGGAAUGAAAAGAAAAGCUUGCUCAAAUUCUGAAAUUUUAGAUUACAAUUGCUUAAGAUAAGGCAAGGAUGAGUUGCCUAAAACUAAAAUGAUUUGAAUUUACAAACUACAGUAUUAAGUAAAAAGGAGUCAGUACUGCUAGGCAUUGACGAGCACAUAUAAAUACAACAACAACAACAACCAAGCCUUAUCCCACUAAGUGAGGUCGGCUACAUGAAUCAAACGACGUCAUAGUGUUCUAUCAACAACCAUGUCUUUCUCCAACUCAUUUAUCUCUAGAUCUUUCCUAAUAGUUUCUCUUAUAGUUUUUCUAGGUCUACCCCUACCUCUAGUGAUUUGACUCCUCUCCAUCUAAUCCACUCUCCUAACUACAGAAUCCACAAGUCUUCUCUCUACAUGCCCAAACCACCCAAGUCUAGUAAUGUCGUCAUUUCUUAUUCUAUAGGUGCUAGCACAUAUAAAUAAUAGUAAAGACAAUCUAAUUGAAAUUAUUUAUUGUUAUUUUUGUCGAAGAAAUGAUAUUAAUGAACCUAAGUAUAUUAUACGGGCUGGGUAGUGAGAACUAUAACUUGAAUCAUAACAUAAAUAUAUCAAUCUUUUUCACAUUAUCUGAAAAUAAAAAAUCAUCAAUAAAAUAAUUUUAUCUGCAGACCUGUAUCGGAGGCCAGAAAUUAGAAGAUAUGAUAGUGGCGGCUACUUUAUCCAUGGAAAUUGCAUUGUCUUCAACCUCCACACCUAAGAGUGCAUAGACAAAUUUUGGUGAAAAGGAAUUGAAGCAAAUGAUAGUUAAAACUAUCUUUGGCAAUGAUCACAAAUAGAGGAUAUUUGAACUUGGAAAUUACUUGUCUGAGGUAGCUGACUUAUGGUAGCUUUAAUGUUAGUGUCGACUCUCUUUGAGCCAAUUAGAUCAUUGAGCAUAAUCUCGCAUUUUUGUAGGCUGCUCUCUCCGAAGUGUAUCUGCAAAAACAAAGCAUUGAACAGAUGUUUACGUAUUGAUAUCAAAAUAAAGAAUGAAUACACAUAAAAAAAAUGAUAAAAUAUUAACAACAUAUCUAGUCAAACAAAAAAGGCAACACAAGUUUUAUUUGAAUAAGAGUACCUUAAGGAGUUCUAGAGUACGUAUCUCUGAGUCAAUAUCAUAAUCAGAUUUAUUUAGAAGUUUCUCAGCAAGCAUAGUUCGAUAUUCAUGAACUAAUUGAUCUUUUGAACCAAUUAUGCCAACAAUCAUUCCAAGUAUGUCAACCUUCCUUUGGUUUCUGCUUCCCUUCAAUGGAUCUGCUUCUACAGGAUCAGGUUGCCAUCUGUUUGGAAAACCCCAUUAAGAAGAAACAUCAAUUUCAUAACCUAGCAGGCAGACCAAAUCAGAAAGAAAGGUGAAAACUGCGAAUCAAAAUCCAUAAUAUAAAUAUACCGUGUGGCAUUGAUCCAUGCUUGCCUAUCAUCAGUGUUAAAAUCAUCAUCAAUACCAAAAUUCUCUUGAAUUUCUUCAUCUCUGUUCAACUCUUCAAGAAGGCUAUCUCCAGGAUUUCCGGAUGCACUUGAAUUUCCCCCAGUCCCAUCUGUCAACAUGGUCACUAUGCAUUUUAUUGUAUCUCUCCUUCCUCUUAAGUAAUCCCUUAUUGGUUCACCAACUGCCUCAAGGAAAACACCAGCAGGAUCUAUCGUCCUUAGGGCUUUAAUAGUAGAAACGUAUUGGUGUAAUAUAUCAUUGGUUGAUGCGCCUGCAGUAAGAAGGCGAUAACGCAGUGCAGAAAUAAAUGACUCCACCAGCUUUGAAUGUUGUCCGGUGUAUUCAAGACAAAGUUUUAAGUCUUCAAUUGCAGGAGAGCUUCAAGUAUCAUCAGAGAGAAAAGGAAAAUAAAUGCUCAGAAAACAAUGCAUAAACAAAUGAGAUGGGAUCUACCAGAGAAUUAGUUUGUAAUGCUUAUUGUUGAAGUUCAAAAUUACUCAAAUCAAGGUUAAAGCAUGCAGCGGGAUAAAGCAUUAGUUUUAUAAUUAAAUUCAAUUUUUAUUGUCCAGUCAAAGAACCAAAACAACGAAUUACACAAGAACAUGUCAAAGCCAAGAACAAUCGUAAUUCUCCUCCAACUACUGCAGGAUGGUUAUACCCACUAAGUGACUAAACAUGUUUCUGUCAAUCCGGUGGACAAUGCCAUUCAGUUUAAUAAGACAUAAUAGAAGGUAACUAAUUAAUUUUCUAACAAAAAACCCAGGAGGAAAGCAAGGAAUUGCAAUUAACAAAAUACCUAUCGGGAUAAUCAACGAUUAUCUCAAAUAAUUUGGCUAUCCUUAAAUCUUGCAGUGUUUCAUAAGCAAAAUAUUCCAGUCGCAACUUCCAUCGGACAAGACUUUCAGAGGGAGUAUCAAUUCCGGGACAGCAUGACGAUGAUUUUGGGGCUAAAGGUGAUUUGAGACCUGAUGAAGUACUUUCGUAGCUAACAGAGUCACCAAGAUAGACAAGAAGGGCAUGGAGAAACUGGAGAGGAACAGCCUGAAUGAUUCCAGUUAUAAGUAUUGUAUGUUAGAAUCGUGAAAACAUUUGUUUAUCUAAAGAGUUGGCAAAGGUGCACAAAAUGUAUGCACAUACACAACAUAUAUGCACUACAAACCUGUAUCCAGCUUUGAAUAGAUUGUAAGACCGAACUCCUAAAAUCAUCUCCCGCUACAUCAUAUACUUUUGCCUGCAAGUCAGACAAAUGAGUCAAUGACCCACCCAAAGAUUAGAAUCAAACAGAGACGCGUGAUGAGUGCAACAUAAAGGCGAAAGAAGAAAUUGCAAGAGACUGAGGAAAACCGGAAGAUCCAGAUUUUGAAUUUCAUAAGCAUGCUCACCUUUAGUAGUAAAAAUAUAGCAGAAGCAUACGCAUCUUCAGCCAUUGAAGUAAAUCCAAGACUUCUGAGAUCAAGAACAACUUUUCCAAUGUUCUUCACCAGUUUACUGUUUUCUGAGAAUCGACGGUCACUAUAGCACUCAUCAACAUCCAUCUCACCAUCUUUGCAUAUUUUUCCUUUUUCAUCUAAAUCCAUGUCAUCCUUAUUUUGAGACACAUCAUCAGUGAACUCCCCAUCCAUGACUGUACUUAACUCCUCCAGCCUUCUUUUAAAAUACCAAUGCAAUAUAGCUAAUGGUAGCAAAUGAAAAAGAAAUACAAAGCCGAUUAGAAAAAUUUGAAGUUUUAAGCACAUCAAAAAAUAUCAAACAAGGGAAUUAAGCAAAACUUUCAAUCAACUAAUGUUUCGAAGAUCAAGAAAACAUUGCACAAAGUACUGACCUAUUUCUAAAUUAGAUCAAAAGAAAGCAAAUUUCCAUGUAAAAUUAGCCAUAUGGUGAAAACCAAGAGCAUUGUCGACAAGAUUCUAUAAUCAAAAUUGAAAGUAAAUCAUUCAUUUACAGUAUGAAAAGGAAAUCCCUCAUAAACAUUAACAUAAAAGAACAACAAACCGCUUACAAACCAGGGAAAACGCGAGGAAGUGUGGCCAUAAGCACAGAAGAGACAGUCCAUUGAUACUUAGAGGUAAGGUAAUUCCUUUCUGCUUCAAAAUUAUGCCUUUCCUCUGACGUUUGAUCCUUGAAAGAUUGUAAAGCAUGGACCAAAAUUAACAGACACUUCUCCUGGUACUGUUUCUCCAAAGAGAUUUCUUCCAAAGCAUUACACAGCACACUCUCAAUCUCAUCCUCAUCAAUCUGUUUCAUUUUAUUAAAAAAAAAAAAAAAAAAAACAUGGUAACAAGCUCUAUAGCACCAAUAAAAGUCUCUUAGAAUUUGUGUAUAGGUCUAACACAACCCUACAAAACUGGCUUGUGAGGUGAGGACUGCCCCACAUAUAAACACUUGUCGGGACAUCUCUUACAAUGUGGGACUCUUAACACACACCCCUCACAAACGGGACUGGACAUUUGAAGCGUGACCCAAGUGGCCUGAUAGCGGAAACCUGACAGCAGGUGCCUUAAGAGAUCUUGGACUCGCUCUAAUACCAUAUUAGAAUUUGAGUUGAGCCUAACUCAACCUUACAAAAGUGUCCAAUGUCAGACAUUUGUUGGUGUCCGACACCAGCACAAUGUGAUUGCAUUCAAUUAUGUCAUUUUUUCAAAUAAUUACUGGUGUAAGGUAUUUGUGCCCGUGCUUCAUAGGUACAAACCACAACCAAAACAAUGACAAGUAAGAUUCAUAAUUCAUAAACACUCACAUUGACAUCACCAUUCUUGUUCAAAGAAACAAAAUCAGCAUAAGGAACAAAAUGCCGCCAAAACCUCGAUGACCCAUUUCGUUCAAAAGUUUCCUACAACCAAAGAAAUCAAUAAAAAUUCAUACUUUAAAAUUCAAAUAGUGAAAUUCUCAGUUGGGUACCUCUAAGACUUUGAGAAAAUGGUCACGAACGAGUGACUCUAGACCAUGUUUACAAAGGGUGUGAACGUGAGAAACAAAUUCAGCACCGUAUGAAAGAUCGCCAGCACCGCCGAGAAGAGAUUGUGUGGCGUUGCAGAAGAGGGUAUAGCUUUCGAGGAUUUCGUGAAGUUGGUCUUCGCUGAGUGUAUCUAGGAUUCCUAUGUUGAACAGUGAUGAGUGAGAAUCCUCCAUUGUCGUUGUUCCACAGUGUGAUUGUGUUUCGAUGUUGGGGUUUGGUGUUGUGGAAAAACAACUGUGUUUUUUCAAUGUUUGGUUGGAGACUGAAAAUGGAGAGGACGAAAACUUGUGGACCCCACACAGGAAAAAAAAAAAACUACUAGUUUAAAAAAGACUUAUUUGAUCUAAUGAUCCCCUAAUUAAUUUCAAGUUUUUAUUCUGGUCCUACAAUUAAGAAAAUGUACAUUUUGGUCCCUCACUUUUUCCUCCGUUUGCCAAAUAAAUCCUGGGUGUUAAGUUUAACCAUAAACUAGACUUUCCACCCGUGCUGCCGCACGGGUCAUAUACAUUGUAGAUUUAUUAUACAUAAAUAAAUCUCAAUGCAUAUCAAAGAGAAUGAAAUAUGUGGUCCCAAAUAUAUGCAGAUGUUGGAAUUCGAACCUCAGACACCACGCUUAUUCACCAAAAAAAUAUUAAUUUUUAUCAAUCGUGUGUUACUUCAUUCUUUUGUUAAAAUUAUAUGUCAAUAUUAUAUUAUUGGUAUGUUACUUCAUAUUUUUCUUUUUUUUUUUGAAAAAAUGUUACUUCAUUCUUUUGUAAAAAUUAUAUGUUAAUGUUAUAUUAUGUACCUAAAAAUAGUUCAUUCUUAACCUUAACAUGUAAAAUGUUUUAUUUAAAUAAUUUUCCUUUUAUCGAAUAUUUGGCCUUUACCGUAAAUGAUACCCUUUAACUGUUUGUUGAAAUGUUUCUUCCACCUGUUUAUAUAGAUUGCAAAAUUCAGGUGCAUUUUGUGGUAAAUAUUUAAUAAAGAGAGUUCAGUUCUAAUUUCGAUGAAAAGUGUAAUAUUAACAAAAAAAAUGUUGCUAUAAUCUUUCAAAACCCUUUUAUUCCAAUAGGGCGAUUUGUUUUGUUGAAGAAAUAGGGCGAUUUGUUUUGAAGAAAUAGGGGAAAUAAAGCGAUGCCGAUUUGCUUUGCUCGUGAAAAUAGGAGAUUAGGUGUGAGCAUUAGCGUUGUUCAUGAAAAUAGAAGAUUAGGUGUGAGCAUUAGGGUUAAAACGGUAAAAUUAUGCAACAGGGUUUAGGUUAAAAUUAGGGCUCAUAAAAAUAUGAGAUUAGGUGUGAGCAUUAGGGUUAUUCAUGAAAAUAUAAGAUUAGGUGUAAGCAUUAGGGUUAAAACGGUAAAAUUAUGCAACAGGGUUUAGGUUAAAAUUAGGGCUCAUGAAAAUAUGAGAUUAGGUGUGAGCAUUAGGGUUGUUCAUGAAAAUAUAAGAUUAGGUGUGAGCAUUAGGGUUAAAACGGUAAAAUUAUGCAAUAGGAUUUAGGUUAAAAUUAGGGCUUACGGGUUACCUUUAAUAUAUAAGAAGAUAAGAAGAUUAGGUGAGAGCAAUAGGAUUGUUCACGAAAAUAGGAGAUUAGGUGUGAACAUUAGGGUUAAAACAGUAAAAUUAUGCAAUAGGGUUUAGGUUAAAAUUAGGAAAACAGUAAAAUUAUGCAAUAGGGUUUAGGUUAAAAUUAGGGCUUACUUGUUAACUUUAAUAUAUAAGAAGAUGUCUAUGGUAUGGUAGACCAACAUUAUAUAAAGUCCAUCAUAGACCCUAUUAAGUUUUUAAUUUAAACCAUUUGAUUUAUUUUUUAAAAAGAGGAGCGUUGGAUCAAGAAGGUCCAUUGUAUGUUAUAGUACACCAUCAAUAACUGCUAUUUUCCCCAUUUCUUCAUCUUCUUUCUUCAUCAACAUAUCAUCUUCAUCAUUAUUCAUCAUAAAAAAUCCAACAAAAAAAACCUAGAAAACACAAAAUCAAAUUAACCCAAAACCCCAUCAAACCCUAAUUUCAAUAAUUUCUUCUAAUUAACCAAACUUCAUUAAACCACAAUAACAAAUCAAACCCAUACAAUAAAAAAAAAUAAAAAUCAAUUUUUUUCCACCACCGCCAGUUCUCACUUCCGCCACCAUCGUUGGUUGUAGUUUGAGACUUGGGUGAAGCAUUUCAUCAAAUGGGUCUCGUGCAUAGUGCAACAUCAACCUUUGAGAACUGUGUUAACAGAGAUUGAAUGAAAAAUGCUCACAAGAUCAAAACUGUGUUUGGAGAAUUUGAUGGAAGCCAUGUUAAUUUGAUUUACAGGAAUGCGACAUCAUCGUCGUCGUGUUUGGAGAAACCCACAAUUCCGGUGAAACCCACAAUUCCGACGAAACCCAUCAAUUCCGUCGAAACCCACAACCACCAACAGUUCCGGCGAAAACCAUCAAUUCCGGCGAAACCCUCACCUUCCACCAUCAAUUCCGACGAAACCCACAAUAGCUGCUUUAACGGAACGGAAGAACAAUCGUAACAGAAAACCUAAUCCACGUUUCACUAGCCACAACAUAUCACGGUGAUUUUGCGAUGUGACUUUCUUUCUUCUGUUUUCAGUUUGUUUCAAAAUGGAGAAAGAAAAGAGCAUUCUAGAAAUGUCCAUAAGUUGUUUAAAUGUUAGGGUGAUUAAGAUAAAUUGAUUCUGGUUUUUUUGUUCUUCGUUAUUUUCUGGAUUUUUUUUUAUGAAUGUUGAUGAAGAUGAAGAAGUUAGGGAAGAAGAUGAAGAAAUGGAAAGAAAAAAAAAAUCAAGUGUUGUUGACUCACGGAAUAUACAGUAGACAUGCAUGCAUAAUCUAACGACCCUCUUUUAAUAAAAAAAAAUCAAACGGUUUAAAUUAAAAAAAUGAAGGACUGUCACUAACGGAACUUUUAUUGUUUUAACAGAAAGGAUUUAUUUGGCAAACAGAGGAAAAAGUGAAGGACCAAAACGUACGUUUUAUUAAUUGUAGGACCAAAAUGAAAAAUUAAAAUUAAUUAGGGGACCGUUGGAUCUAAUAAGCCUUUAAAAAAAUUGUUAAUUGCCUUCACGGUAAAUAUGGACCGACAGGGAUGUCAAUAUGCAUUCGUAAAUGGAGAUCAUGCAUGGACUGUUCUAUUUGGAGAUGAGUGAUGGAUUUUUCUUCGUUGAGAUGGAGGAUAAAGUUCCUUUGAUGAUAAUGUGGAGAUGAGAACGAAGAUCAUACCAUUGCCAUGCAAUCUACAAGCACCUUGUCCCUGAGUAAUUCACUAAAAUAUUAAAUAUGUUAUAUUUAUUUAUCUUUUUUUCAAAAAAAAAAAAAAAUUAUCUUUUCAUAUAGUAUGUGUAGAAAAUUAAAGAAGUCGUAAGGGAUAUGGGACAAUUUUAAUGGUGAAAUCAGGAGUGGAGAAGUACUUCCCGCCUCCGCCCUGCCUUUUUGAAAUCUUUGCAUGAUAGCUCCCCACGCUAAAAAAUUGUCAACUAGACCACAUAGAAAUUCUUCCAUCAAUGUACCCUUUUCUAACAAGUAGAUCCUCGCUAUCAAGCACAACUAGUAUGUUUUUCUACAUUUAAACCUAAGUCAUUUGAAGUAUUAGACAACACUUUAGAUGGACAUGACUCGAUGUCCAUAAAAACUUUCCACAUUUGACAGCACAAAGUUUCAUGUAGUACACUCAUAUUAGGACAUAAUAUUUCACAUAUUCACACAUCACUUUUUAGAUUUGCUCAACACAACAGAGUCACAUAAUCACGUAGAGAAUCAAUCAGAAUAUGACAACGUCUUUCAAUACACAAGAAUUCAGUAGAACAACUUUACAGAGGUAUUGAAAACCCAACAUAGUCAUAAGAGAGUCAUUUUAAAUAUAACAGAGUUAUUCAUAAUAUCACAACCGUUCAAAAUAAUUUAACAAAAUCAAAUCAAAUAAAUAUUUAUCAUGUAAUUUCAAGCAAAGACUGAUAUAAGUCAUAAAACACGUUAAUAGUGUUGCUAAUUCAUAUUUUAACUUUUUUUUUUUUACAAACUUUUCAUAUUUUACUUUUAACUUAUCACACCUAUAAUCAUAAUUAUCCUUUUAUUUCACUCCAAAGAGUCUAACAAGUAGUUAAACUUUGGAUAAUGUAGGAAUUUGACAUUCCAUUUGUCACUAAUUAUUAUUACACAGUUAUCCAAUCAAAUUUUAUUUCGCACUCUUACUUUAAUUGAAGAUUAUGGUCCCGUUUGAAUUGAUUUAUUUUGAGCUUAUAUGGGCUUAUCUACUCCCAUAAGCCUUUUUAAAGAUGUUUGGGUAAAUAAAUAAAAAUAGUUUAUCAUAGUUUCAUAAGCUGCUUAUGCUAUAUUUUAAUAAGCCUAAAUUUUCAGCUUACCCUCUGGCUUAACAAGGAGCUUAUGAAUUUAUGUAACCUCCUUCGAUUCUCUCUGGAUCCACUUUUUCAAAACAUAUAUUUUAAUUAUAAUUUUUUUUGAAGGAAUAUUUUAAUUAUAAUGUUAGUUAUCUUUGGCGGUGUAUCAGUAACAAAAUUGCAAUAUACUUAUCUUACUAAAAUAACAAACGUAACUAAGAUUUUUUUUUUAAGAAGAUUUUUAUUAUUUUUUUUGAACAAGCUAUUUUUUAUUUUUUUUUUGUUACGUAACAAAAUGAAACUGAAUAAAAAAACAAAUUUAACUUGUCUUUUUUGGGUAACAAACUGCACACUAAUAUCAAUAUAUAUGAUAUGUUUAUUUACAUCUCUAAUGUUAAUUUUGUCUUAUAUGAAUAUUGAUAUUUUUUUUUAAGGACAAAUACUGAUUAUACUAUAUAUAUAUAUAUAUAUAUAAUUAUAAUUAAUAUGUUAUAAUAUUGUUUUUUUACGCCUUGAUUAAUUUUAUCAAAAAAAAUCUUGAUAAUUGUGGUUCAAUUCUUUGAUUUUUUUUUUUAAAUUAAAAAUAUUUAAAAUUUCGAUAAUUGCUUAUGUAAUGUCACAUCCAAACACUUCAAUUUAUGUAAGUACUUUUUAGUGUACAUAUCCAAACAUAAAUAACUUAUCAAGUAUAAGAGAUUAUGAUAUAAGCUCUAAUGUUAUAAGCACUAGUGUUAUAAGCAUCAAUAUAAACUGUUUAUCCAAACGGAGCCUAUAUCAAGUAAGUUUUGAGCACAAAAGCUAAGUUCAACAUCAGAAACAACCGGAGGAAUUGGAGUGUUGAACAUGAUUCUUGAUUGGCCGCCAACUGGACAUGCUCUUAAAAAAAAAAUCAUUUUCAUGUGGCUUGUUGCAUCAGUCAAUUAUUUUAUAUAGGCUUAAAUAUAUAAUCCGUCCUUGUAAUUUAGAUGCGUUUUGAUUUUCGUCUUGUAAAAAAAAAAAUUAAAAACAUCCCUGCAAAUUUUUUUUUGUUUUAAAAAGGUCCCUGCCCUCACUAUUCAGUUGAAGUGACAUGGUUUUGGCCACGUGGCAGUUGCUGACUUUGCAACUUUUGCCACGUGCAUGCCAUAUAAUUAAUUUUUUAAAUUAAAAAAAUCCGAAAAUCAAUAUAAAAAUCAUAAAAAAAUAAAAAAUCUGAAAAAAAACUGAAAAUUAAAUUUUUUGAUUUUUAAUUAAUUUUUUUCUUCAAAAUUCUGAAAAUUAAAUUUUCGAUUUUUAGUUAAAAAAAUAUUUUUUUCAAAAUUAUGAAAAUUCAUUUUCUUUAAAUUUUAAAAUCAUAAAAAAACUGAAAAUUAAAUUAUAUUUUUUAAAAACACUAAUUUUCAAUUUUUUUCUUCAUAUUUCAAAAAAAAAAUGGAAUUUUUUUAUGAUUUUUUAAUUUAUUUUCAGUUUUUUAAAUUUAAAAAAAAAUAAACUUUUAAUGACGUGGACUGCCACGUGGCAAAAGUUGCACAGUCAGCAACUGCCACGUGGCCAAAAAAGGCACUAAUCUUCAAUGACGGCUUCGGUGGAUGAAUUAGGUCUUGUAGUCUUGUAUAUAUACUGAAGCAAUAUGGGUUAUAAUAUCCUGUUGGGCUUCAGAACAAAAGUAGAUCCAAAAGCUGAUCCACGAAACAAAUAUGGAAACUCCUAAAAAGUAGGAACAUCUUUAGGAACAAUCCAAACACAUUCAAAGUUUCCUAAAUUGUUGUCACAAUUUUAGGAAAUAACAAACCAACCGAUUCUGUGCCAAAAGACACGCAGCUUGGCCAACAAGAAAUAAGACGUGGUUUCCUUAAAAAGAUAAAGCGUGCAUAAAUCUUGGCACAACUUCAGGGCACACUGAACUGUGCUAGGAUGUUGGAACAUCGUAUACAACAUCACACAUGAAUAUUUAUUUUAGCAAAAGUGAAGUCAACACACAAAUAUCCAACAAAAAGUAAAGAAAGCAAUUGGCGCCGUAAAUAUCCGGAACAUCUACAAAGGAACACCUUAAAAUCCCAAAAUGAUGAGGCCGGAGUAUAUACAAAUGGCAUGAACAACCAAACGCAUACCCAUGUGUGUGUACACACCGGUACCCAAUUUUAAAAUUUUGAAAUUUUAAAUUUCGUAUGUCUAUUUAAAAAGAUCACUUAAUAUAUGUUAAUUACAAAAUAUAUCAAGUUUUUAAUGUUAUGGAAUGAUUAUUUAAAUUUAACUAAGUUGCAAUCUUAUGUGUGCGCACGUGUACCCAAUUUCGAAAUUUUGUAAUUGUAAAUUUCAUAUUUCUCUUAAAAAAAUCACGAAAAACAUAUUUACAAACUAGAUCAAGUUUUUAUAUUAUAGAAUGAUUAUUUAAAUUUAAUACAGUCACGACCUACCUAAAAAAAGGAGCAGCAAUCUUGUGUAUACGCAUGAGUAUCUAGUUUCAAAAUUUUGUUGUAAAUUUCAUGUUUCUAUUACAAAGACAAAGCGCAAUGCACGACCUAGUACGUCUACUAUGGGUGUUCUUUGGUGACAAUUAGGGUACCCAUGAAAGAAUGGUGGGUAAUUUACCCCAAUCAAUACACAUUAGCCACAUAAGCACAUUUUUAAGUGGUAUUCAUGAACUAUCUUGACCCCACCAACAAAUUGCUCAUUUUCAUUGGUUGAUGGGUAAAUUACCCACCAUUUUUCAAAGGUAAUCUAGAAAACACCGUGUUCUUUUAGUUUUGAAAAUGUGUCAAAUCUAACUAUUUUGAACAAACAGUGCAUAAACAAAUUUAGAAUUAAGGCUUGUCUAAUAUGAACCCUCCAAAUUUUGUUUUUUUUACUAAAGUUGGACCUUUCUCAUUUUUAAUAAUAAAAAGAAUAAUAGUAAAAAAUGAAAAAAAAAAUCUGCUACUUUAUUAAAAUUUACUAAAAAUGAUAAAAUCCAUCUUUGAACUUUUUUUAGUAUCCAUAUUAGAUUCACACAACAAAUUAUAAAUGACCAAAUAAAAAUAUUAAUUUUCCCCUAAAAAAAAUAAAAAUAUUAAUUUUAUAAAUGCAAACAUAUGGUAAACGUGGAGUAUUGUUUAUUAUUGGGGAUUGACAAUGGACCACAACAACAAUAACGACAGUUAUUGUGUUACAAUUAUAUUUACAGGUCUCACCUGUAUACUUAUAUACAGAUACAUCUCAUAAUGUUAUACCAAAAAAUAUAUACAUCCCAUGCAAAAUGAUGAAAUUAAAGCUAUGCCUAAAUAUGGUUUGUAUACAGUACUACGUAGCAUUCAUGCAUCCAACAGGGUGUAAAUGAAAAGCUAAAGAAAAUAAAAGAAGGAUAUCACUGCUGUCUACAGAAGCUACAGUACAAGUGCAGUACAAGGUGAAAACUAUGUUACACAUAUGUGUUGUGUUGGUUAUCAUCUGCUGGUGGUACUGGGAAAUUAAUUUUUUACAGUAUCAAACAACACUAUCACUCCUGCACAAAAUCAACUCCUAUGUUAAAUAUCAGUUACAUGUACCAAAAGAAGAGUAAAAAUGUUAGUGCAAUAGUUACUUUGGAUGAAAUUCAAUAAAUAAGGUUAUAUUAAUAGAAAAAAUAAAUAUUGUAUUACUAGUAUUGUAAAGUGACAAUUAUUUUGACACACUAAAAAAUGUUAAAGUAACGAUGAAAAUGAGACGGAGGAAGUACAUUUGAGUAGCAUUGCACAAAUUCAUGCACUUGUUUAUUCUAAAUGCAUGCCAUCGUUUCAAACAAGUCCUUUUCGAAGAUGAUGGUAAUGAUUCAGAUGAUAGCAACAAAGAGCAUUAUCCACCAUUUGCCAUGCCUAAAAAGAUGACUAAUUUUAAGUGGGUGUUAGGAGUCAGAUUUGGUACCAAAGAUGAGUUCAAGGAAGCAAUUACCAACUAUGCUAUCUACAAUAGAACUUGUUUGAAACGAUUCAAAAACUAAAAGGACUUGUUUGGAACUUUUGAAACUUAAAGGAUCACUUUGGGAAAAACGAAAAAUUUAAAGGACAUUUAGAUGCAUUUGACCAUUCAUAUAAGCAAAUGUUAGAUGCCUAAAGAGUAACUUCCUUAGCACCUCUCAAAAAAUGUUGGGCAAGUAUAAAGGUUUGAAUCUAUAAGCUUUCCAAACUACCAUGCUAAUCACACUUUCUACAAAUAUUUGCUCAUAACAAUUUUUUAAGUUGAUUGAUAGAUAAUAUUAGACCUUCGAAAGGUUCAUAUCAUCCUAAAAUGACCUAUAAUAUGCAAUAGUAGGUUAUACUUUGAGCUACAAUUUAAAAAAAAAAAAAAAAAACCCAAUUUAUUCAAUAAAAAAGUUUGUUUUAACUCAAGUCUCAUCUAAUCUAAGAUUACGUGUACAUCUUCAUAUAUUUUUUUGACUCAAGUCUCCUCUAAUCAAGGAUUAUGUCGGACAUCUUCAUAAAUUUUCACAAACUUACUUAUAAAUUGUGUGUAGUCAUUUGGGGAUUAGUUGCCUCGUGGUAUCUGUGUCAUGUUCUAUGAUGUCUAUGUUGGAGUUCCUGCUUCAUAUAUUGCCCAUAUUAUUAAGAGGAAAGGUGUAAAAGGGUCAAUGUCAGAAUAUAUGAUAUUCAUAAUUUUUUUUUUUUGGUUACAAUAUGAUAUGAUAUUCAUAAUUUUGAAGAGCUCAUUUUGAAUCCAUGCUUAAUGGAUCUAUAUUAAGGUAGAAGAUUGGAGAGAUUAUGCAAACCUAAAAUAAUUUUUAAAACAAAUUGAAAUAAUGGAACAUGGAUCAUUUUGGAAACUUAGAUCACAAAAUGGAGAUUAUUUGAUUAAUAUUUCUUCUUGGAAGAUUUUUGUGUUUCUACGGUUCUACAAGAAGAUAAAAAGAGUGAAUGACUUCAGUUGAGAAAAAUUAUAAUUAAGAGAGACGGGACUAAACAUUUUCGUCAUAGUACUGAAUUUUUUUCAACAAAUCUUGAUUCUUCAUUAGUUAGCUUCUGCCCUAGUGCAUGGUGGAUCAUGGAUUCUUUCUUGGUUUACACAACUUUGCUGACCUUUAGAUGAUCUAAAUAAAGAUGGUAUUGUAAUUGUGUUCUACAGUUUUGUUUUGUUUCUACUCAAGUAAAGUCUAAACAAUGUUUUCUCUGCUAUGUGCAGAAGAUGGUAUUUGGAGAGAUUCCAAUUGUGAGGUCGUUUUGAAAGCCAGUACAAAGUAGUUGUAACCUGCAGGCGAAAUGUGAUGAGGGAGUUAUGCAUCCAGGCUUUAUUGAAAGAGGUAUGCAUUGUCAUUAAUAAUGAGAUUUUUUUUAACCAAAUAAACUUAUAGAACUUCAUUAAUAAAAAAUCAGUUCAAUAUAAUUUAGUAUCUCAACCAACAUCUGAAAACUAGCGGUAAAUGUGGCCGUCUUGGAUAAAUUAUAAACAAUCUCAUUUGUUUGUCUCAGCAUAUACUUCGUAUUAGAGUUUCUAUAAUAAUGAUAAAAAAAAUAGAUUUAGAAUGGUUUAUGAGCAACCUCAUUUAUUUGUCUCUGCACAAACUUCUCAUCGCUUCUUGACGAGAGGAAAAUAUCCACCACACCCUCUUAAAGUCAAACUCAAAAUCAACCGGUCACAAGUUUAACUCGUGAAUUUAAGAGCCGAAAGGAAGCCUAAUGCUUCACCAACAUGCACAUCACACUUAGGAGCAAACCAUUAUGUCUUAACUAAAACAAAAGCACCAACCUCAUCUCUAAUACAUAUAUCAUUGAUAUAAUAUCAAUCUCUACUUUGUUGUAUAGUGUAUAUAUAUAGGCAAAUUCUAUGGUACACUUAAAAAUUUGAAUGUACCGGUACACCAAAUCAUCAAAUUCAUAUUAAAACGAGUUGUUUUUUUUUAAAAAAAAAAUUGUUUUCUAUCAUUAACAAUUACAAUAAUUAGAUCUUAGUUACCGAAAGUGUCGACGAAAUAAAAUUUUACAUUUUUUGAAUUUUUGUUACAUAUAACAAAGAAUAUUUAUUAUUUUUUAUGAGAAAAUGUUAUAAAUUUAAUAUGAUUCUUAUAAACAAUGAAAUUGUGUUUAUUCUUAUAAAAUGAUGUCUUAUAAAAUAUAAAUAUUGAUAAAUAACUCUUUAUUUCAUAAAAUAAUCGUUAAAUUGUAAAUAUUUAAAGCAGGAGUACCGAUAGACCUCAAUUUGUGAGGUCUACCGUAGAAGUUCCCAUAUAAAAUUGUUAAUAUGAUAUAUAUAUAUAUUUCUCCUCUACUCAAUCCUCUUCAAUUGACUGUAAAAUUGUCUGAGGCACUUCUUUACUUGACAUAACAUAUAAUGAACUAUUUUCGACAUCACCUUUAAUCCAAAAUUGAUCCUAUUAUCCACUCUAGCUUAUCACUUUUUCCAUCUUUUCACUAUUCAGCUCAUUACAAUCUUUUUUUAAUCCAUCUCGGAUUUAUUCUUUCAGACACUCUCCCACAUUUCCUUCUCUUUUAGAGCCUCCACAACGAAAUAUUUAUUUUUGAAUACUUAAAUGAAAAAAAAAAAAAAAAAAAUCGCAUCAACAUAUUAUAAUCAAUAAGAAACUAAUUUUAACACUGAAAUGAUAAAAAUAAAUGCAGAUAUAAAGAAGCUAGGGCAAUUAAACUAGAAUUGAACCUAAAUUUAUCAGUAGAAGAAAUUUUCAUACCACUAAGAAAGAAGAUUUUUUUUACUACAUACUACUCUACAAUAAGUAUUAAAUUUAUCCCUUUAAAAAAAACUAAGUGCUUAUGCAGUUUUAAAUAAAACCAUUUUCAAUCUCUUCAUCUCAAAUCAUUUUUUUUAAAAUAUGAACCAAUAAAAAUAAUUAAUUAUAUAAAUGCAAACAAGGUAAACGUGGAUUAAAUUUUUUUUAAACAAACGUGAGUAAUGCUUUUUUCUUUUGGCGAUUGAUCAUGGACUCCGACAACAAUUUGGCAUUUGUCAAAAAAAAAAAAAUACAAUAUCAAUAGCUACCCUCUUUUCUUUUGAAUCCACAUUGCCGCAUGUUGCAUUUAUGUGUGGAGGUUUAAAGGUGUAUACCUCCUAUGCACUCUAGAAGAUUAUUACAUGAACACAACCCUACCCUAUCGAAUGAAUGCUUGACAUACAUAGUUGAGAAAGAAGGAUAUAACUAACGUCUACUAUACUAUAACAAUGGCAGAAGCUAUGGUACAACUAUCGUACAAGGUGAAACCAUGCUACACAAUAGUACACAUAUGUGUUGGUUCUCAUUAGUCAAGACGUUUAUCUGAUGGUGGUACAUGGAAAUUAAUUUUACACUGUCAAACAACACUAUCACACCUGCACAAAUCAACUCCAAUGUUAAAUGAGUAAAUAUCAGUUUUAUUUUUAUUUUUAAAUAAUGAGUAAAUAUUAGUUAACAACAACAAAACGAGAGAUGUUAAAUCAAUAAGUAAAAUUAAUUUAUUUUUAUUUAUAUGAUGUAUUUUAUCUAAAUUUAAGUAAAUGAAGAAUUUUCUUUAUUUUACUAUCAUUUUCAAUGUCUUAUUUAUAUAACUUUUUACAUCUGCUCCCACAUAUGUAUGUUCUUACUUCCUGAUACAAUUUUCUCCGAGCACUACUUCAAACAUGUGAAACCUUUUUUUUGGGAUUUUAUAGUGGCUUUGUCUAACGUUCAUAAAUAUAAUGGUUUUGUAUCAUGCGUAAGUGUCUUUAGUUUUUCACAAUUGAAUCAAUAAGUGACAUCUCAUUUGAUUUAAUGAUGAGAUUUAUUGAUCCAAUGAUAAAAACUAACUUGUGUAGAUUUGGCCUUUCAUGCUACAUACUUGGAAAUUAUAUACAAUAUUAAUUACUUGUGAAAUUGUGUGUCAAAUAUGUGUUUGGCUUAUAUAGAUAUAUUAUUGUAUUAAAAAAAAAAAAUUCUAUCUUCCGGAUAGUUAAUUAUUUCUAACUUGUUAGUUAACCCCUUUAUUGAUGAGUUUUAUUUGGGCGUCAUUAAUUUUUGGUGUUUUUGGUGUCUUUGUUUCCAUCUACUCCCUCUGGUUCUAUUUAUAAGAAAUAUUUGAUUUUUUUUAUUCCUAGCAUAAAUGAUAUAUUUGGUCUAUAUUCUAAACCCUAUACAUAUCAAUUACUCAAUGAAUCUAAAAAGCCGAUUUUUUCUUAUAAAUAUGACCCGAGGGAGUAAUUAAAAUACACUAAGGACACCAAUGACACCAAAAGCUAGUAACAUCCAAGUUAACUUCAGGGUCGGCCCUAUGCAAAUGCAAAGGAGACCUUUGCAAUAGGGUCUCAAAGUUAGAAGGCCUCAAGUUCGCACAAGAAAAAUACAAAAGAACUUUUAUCUACAAAUAUGUCACUAAAUGUUGUUUGUUCGUGGUAAAAAUAUGGAAGACAACAAUUUUACUGCCGAAUAUACAUUUACAUUUUAUGUAGGUAAAUGUCUAUAUGUCAGUAGAUAAAAGUCAUGUUUGGUAUGAGUUGCCUUAACAAAUGAAUUUUUUUUCAAACUAUUGAUAUUUGAACAGGGGUCUGUUUUUUAUAUUUUAGCAGGAAUUACAAUUUGAUUGAGUUGGCCCUGAUCAAAUCCAUUAAAUAAUAGUUACAUGUACUUUGAGUGAUUAACAAUUGAUCCAUAAUUAAAAAAUAUAAGCAACUAGUAGCGUCGUCUUAGCCUAUGCUAGUAAUGUUGACCCUUCUGUGAUGCUACUUAGCAUCCACGCUACUAAGAUUGAUGCCGCUUUGACGCUACUUAGCCUCGGCUUUGUAUGAGUGUCAAAGCUUUGGACUUAGUGUCGGGAUCACAUACAUUAAAAUAGCAUCAACCACUACAAGAAUUCCCUUUAUUAGUGACCAACUUAAAAUUGAAUUACUGAGGGAUCUAGACCCUCAGUAAUUACUGGCAGUCUAAACCCUCAGUAAUGUAAUAGAAAACCCUCAAUAACAUUACUGACGGAAUAAACCCUCAAUAAUUCAGUUGAUUACAUUACUGACGGAUAAAUCCGUCGGUACUACAAUCGACAAAUCUACCUUAGAUUAGUGGCAGAUUUCUCCGUCAAUAAUGAUGCUGCACAUGGGAUUGGACUACUGGCGGAUGUUAAUCUGCUAGUAAUGUUCAACCAGUUUAAAAAAAUCUGCCACUACCCCUUUAUUUCCGCCAAUACCCCAAUUAAUUUAACUUAUAAUUAAAAAAAAAUUACAAAAUUAUAAGAAAAUGAAAACAAGCAGAAACUAAAACCACAAUCAUUUACGCAUCUGGGCUUCUUUCAUCUCAUUUCGGAAGAAAGGGUUUUUCUCCAUCUCAAUCGUGUUCACUUGAUCUUGUUUGAUGUUCAAUCGUUCCUCUCUCUUUUGCUCAAUCGUUCUCGUUUUCCCAUCAUCUAGGUUAGCUCAUUUGUUCCUCUUUCUAUUACUCGAGGAAGAAGAUGAAGAGCUCGUGUUGAAGAAGUACUAAGGGCAGAAGAAUGACAGUUUAGAGCUUUGGUGAACCCACACACUUCAUCAAAAUCUUGAGGAUAUAUACUAAUUGAUGUGAGUUUCUCAUAUUAGGUUCUAAUCAUAGCAAAAGGAUAUUUACAUGCAAUAGAAUGAUAAUUGAAACCCUAAUUGAUUUAACCUUUUUGUUGUUGUGUUGUUAAUGUGUUGAUUUAGUUAGCAAUAACCUUAUUGGAGUAGUUGGAAGCAUCAAAUUCAAAUGGAAGUGAGUUUGGAGCUAAAUGUCAAGUGAUUGUGGAAUUGGGGAAAACUUGAAAAGCAUCAAAGUUCAUUGAAUUCUUAUGAGUUCGAAAACGAUUGAGGUAUUAUAGAGUAGAAAUUAUGAUUCAUAAUCGUUUAAAGAGAGUAGAAAUUUAACUAUAAAUUUAAUUAGUAAAUUAUGAGUGGUGUUGGAAUCCUAGAGAAUGCUAGUCUUGUUGAGGUUGGGGUUUUGGAUUCUUAGGGGCGGUUUAAUCUCUAUUGUUUCUGCAGUGUUAGUUUAAUUGUCUGUGGUGCUGUUAUGCUAUAAUUCCUACUAUUGUGGUUUGUUUUCUUUAGCAUGGCAGGUGGUUUUUUAGGUGCAUGCUUGGGAUGCCUUUAUGUCCCUUGAAAUCUCGAGUUCUUUCCACUUUCUGUUGGGUUGUUUGUUCACUUUCUUGAAUAUAGUUAGCGGUUCAAAAAACAAAAAUCAGUAAAGUCUGAAUAGUUGUGUAUCAUAUGCCUCUAAAUAAAGCCUUAAUUUCCCUUGUUGUGUUUGACUGUUAAGCCACGGAUUUAUUCACUGAUAUAAUUGAUAUAGUAGUCCUAUUUUUUGAGGUAGUUGUGUUCUAGUGCACAAGUUUAUGGCUUCAUAAUUUUGGCCUAUAUGUUCUAGUGCACAAGUUUAUGGCUUCAUGAUUUUGGCCUAUAUUUAUCAUGCAUGUACUAGCUGUAGGAUACACAUAGCAUAUAUGAGCUUAAGUCCUAAUUCCAUUACUUAUGUUUUAAGAAUUAUAUGAUGCUAGUUUCAUCUCUACUACUGUGUGCAUCAGAUUGUUGAACUUUAUGGUGUGUGGGAUUAAAGUUAUGAUUUUAAUAUGAUUAUAUACUAUGGUUGACUUAGUGGCGGAUAAAAAGAGAAUGUGUGCCUUAGUGGCGGAGUAAAUAAACUAUGUUUGCCUUAGUGGCGGAUUAAAUAAAUUAUGUUUGCUUUAGUGGCGGUUAAAAAUUGCGUGUGCCUUAGUGGCGGGUUAAAUAAUUAUGUGUGCCUUAGUGGCGGGUUAAAUAAUUAUGUUUGGAAAGAAAAAAAAAAGGGGGCAGUAUUUUUCUUAUAAGAAAUAUAUGAAAUGUUUUGACCAAAAAUACAGGAUGUUACAAAAAGCAUCAAAGUUCAUUGAAUUCUUAUGCGUUCGUAAACGAUUGAGGUUGGCUCUCUCUCUCCUAGGCUUGAAUUUAAUUAGUUUGGCUUGAAAUAUUUAUGUGAGAUCAAUGUGUAUUGUGAUUAGUAUGAGAAAAUUAGGUUUUAAUGAAAAUUCUCAUGUCAAAUUAGCUUAAUUCAAAAACUAGCUUAUUUGUGUAGCAGCAAGUUUUCAUUACAUAGAAAUGAUGAUUAUGAAUUUGUGCCCGCCCAUUAUAUAGGAGUUAGUAUUAUAAGUAGUCAUGCUAACCUUUUUACACACACAAAUAGUAUGAGAACAUAACUGAUGGCCUUCAUAAUCUCUAUGUACAUUUGGGUUGUUGGUCAAAUUAAGCGACCUCGAAGAAACUAAGACAUGGUUUUUGGUUAAUUUGAAAUGCUAUGAUUUGGGUAAUUUGGAAGGGGAGGAAUGAUAAUAUUUUCAAUAAUGGAGUGAUGAGGUAGAUGAAUUGGUGCAUAAUAUUUUGGUGCUUUCGUGGUAUUUGAGCAUGAGUUGGUUAGCAAUUGCCUCAUGUUUGUUCUAUGUGUGGUGUUAGAAUCCUCGGGAUUGUUUAGCUAGGUAGGAGGGAGGGUGGCUGGCUGACUAUUGGCACUUACGAUAGUUUUUUUCGGGUGCUGUUAUGAUGUAACUGCUGCCCUGUUCACAGCUGCAGAUGCCUUUACUGCUUUUGGGUGGUUUUUUUGUCUUUGCUAGCUGUCUGUUGUUCUUGUUAUUCAGGUGGUUUAGCUUUCUAUGUAUAGCUUAAAAGACUGCUUGUGGGUUAAUGAAAGUAAAGACAACCUCAUCAUAACCAAGUACAUGUUCUCAUGCAAAAAUUUAUUUGUUUUUUAUCGUCUAUAAUUGUUUUUCUCUUCAACAUAAUUAAGAAACUUAUUGUUAUAACGUAUAGACUCUGUAGAGUGAUUGCGAAUUACAUGAUUCUGAAACCAGUUGUAACAAGCACCUUGUUGAUGUACCAUUCUCCUCCAUUGGCAAGUUCCACUAAUAGUAGUUGAAGGCACCUAUUUGGUUUAUCAUAAUCUAUAAGUGAUAGUAUUGUUGGUAUUUUCUUGGUCCAAUGUAAAAAGACUGUUCGUUUGUAGUCAUAGAUGGUCUUCUGAAAACCGGUGCAAUAAAAAACACUAUAUUACGCAAAUACAACCAUUGACAACAUGCUGCUGCAUAUGAUGUGCCUGUGUACACAAAAUAGUUUGAUACUUGUGAAAGCUAAUAAUGAUUUGGUACAUUUCACCUCUUAUUCUAAAUCCUAUUGAUUGAAUCAUGAAACUUAUUUUAGUUUAAAAAAUGAAGAUGGAUGACACAUUCAAAGGCAUAACAUCUACCAGACAUGCUCACGCUUGUUGCUUAUAAUGGUAAGAUUUACCCUCUGCAGCAACUAUGGUUUACUAAUGUAAGAUUUACCUUGUGCAACAACCAUGGUUACAUGAAUAGUUGGUUCCUAGAUGAUUGUUUUAAGAUGUAAUUGUGUUAGCUGUGGGGAGUUUCUACUGGAUCUCCUGGCUAUGUUCUUAGCUUUCUGUUUGGUCUUGGACGUUACGCGUAUGGGCGGCGCUUUUGUAUUGUUCUCAAUGCUAGCUUUUGCACGUCUUGUGCAGGCUUGGUAUCUAAUAAAUUUGUUGAUUUACACAAAAAUAGUUUAUUUUGUUAGUUUUUUGGAUUGUAUGAAUAUUAUUGAAAUAUUUAUAAUUUUGUACGAAAACUCUAAAUUAUAUGAAAUUAUGAUGAUAUGUCGUUUAAUUAAUUUGUGCCUUUUUAAAUUUUAUUUCCUCAAUUUAUUUAUGUUAUUUAAUUUAUUUCUUUAAUUAAAAUAAAAAGUGGGAACAGAAAGAAAAAAAAAAAGUGUAAAGUACAUUACUGGCGGAAAUUUCCAUCAAUAAAGCAAAUCUGCAUAAUCAUUACUGGCGGAAUUUUCCCUCAGUAAUGUAAAGGUGGUUUUGACAAACCAUUACUGGCGGAUUAUUCCCUCAGUAAUUACUGGUGGAUUGUUUCCGCCAGUAAUUACUGAGGGAAUAAUCCCUCAGUAAUACUUUGUCAAAACCAUCUCAACAUUACUGAGGGAAAUUUCCGCCAGUAACAUUACUAACGCCAGUAUUACUGAGGGACACCAAUCCGUCAGUAAUGUGUAUUACUGAGGGAUUUUCUCCAUUACUGGGGGUUUAAUUCCGCCAGUAAAACACAAAAUUCUUGUAGUGAACUUGAGGCAAAUGCUUAGCUUCAAGUGUUUAUUCUCAACCAUGAGACUGGCGCUUGGCUGAUGCUACAUCUAAGCAUCCAGUUUUUGCGUGUAGUGUGGUUUAUAUCUGAUGCUAAAUAACAUUUUUCUUGUGGAAAUUGUUUGCACACAUGAAAUACAAUCGUUUAAAUAUAAUAAAUUAAAUUUACUAAAUCACAUAACUGUUUUACGAUAGUAAUGAAAUAUCGUCCAUAUUUAUGAAAGGUAUGAGAGCAGAAUUAGGAACACAAAUUGUUAGCUUAAGAUUAUAGAGAGAAUGGACGAUAGUGAGAGUGCGUGGACUUCAAUGGUUGAUGGGAGUCGAACAUGGGUUGAAUAGAAAAUAUGUGCGUGCGUGUGAUAUAGGUUUAUGCUAUCAAAUUGCUAAUCCUACCUAAAUAAGGAUUAAAUAACAAAGAGUCACACAAUAGGUUAAAUUUAUCAUUUUGUUGUUGCACCAAACAAUACAUUUAAAUACCAUAGGAUAAGUUUAUCAUAUCUUAUCCCCUAUCAUGUGCACCAUAUGUGUACGCCUAUGAUUUUUCAACACCUCGGUUUCUUUCUAUCUUUUUUAAUUAAGGAAAUGCCAACUGUUGUAAAUUCGAUGAAAAAAUCACAUCAAUAAAAUAUUUGAUGUGUGGAGCAAAAUAAUCAAGCAACCAAUAUCAACGUGGGAACAAUUAUAAACACAAGUAAAAGUAGAAAACAACGAGAGAAAGAAAGAACACACGAAAUUUGUUUACCCAGUUUGGUCUAAUACUUACCUAGUAUUGGGAGAGAGCAGCCCUCCGUUCCACUAUAAUGAUGAGUAAUUUUACAAAAAAGAUAUCAAAGGGUUACAAAAAUAAGUCUUCAAACCUAAUUCUACCCAAAGUCUCAAUCUCUUCCCAUGACCAAGAGACUUAAUCUUAAUAGUGUUUCCCAAGGUGAAUCAACUCAACCCUAAUGUCUCCCGCUUGGAGAAACCUCUUUAAACCCUAGUUUGUUGUAAUUUGUUUCUAAACCCUUGUUUUCAGACUCUCUACCUCUCUCUCAAAGUUUACAUCUGAUACAAUGUCUAUAAUUAUAAUAAAAGUAUCCUUCAAAAAACUGGAACAAAUCUAAGCCCAAAAAUAUGUUUAUGUUUUAUUUUCUGCUGGCAAAAUCAUGCCUCGAUUUUGCUCUUCGGUCACCAAUUUUUCACGUAAAGAAAAGGCUGAAAAACACAGCCAAAUUCGGACCCCUGACUCCAUAAUUUGGGCCCCGAUUUUGGUAGUUUCCAGAAACUCCAAUUUUAAAAAGGUCAUUUCCAGAAACUUCUUAUCAAAUGUCAUAAGGACACUUGUUAGCAUUUCCCUUAAUAUUUACUACAUCCAUUUCUUUUUAAUUGUCACUUUUUGACAUUUUACACAAACCAACACAAUCAAUAAUUGUUACUACUUUUGAUGCAAUAAGUUAUACUUUUACUGUAAUGACCUUAUUCAUUUAACAUCUCAUUUAAUGUUGCAUUGAAAUAAAUAACUUUAAGUGACAGUUAAAUAGGAACAAAAAAUUUCUCCAAAAGAGACACUUAAAAAGGAACGGAGAAGGUACUUACAAAAGCAGGGCCGUCCCUAUGUAACUGGAGGCCCGACUCUCAUGUAAAAAUAGGCCCCUAAUAAAAUAAAAACCUAAUUUUUUUUAAUGAGCAAUUAUCGAUUUAAAUUAAAAAUAAGAUUCGUAAAGAUAAAAAAAAAAAAAAAAAGUUAUUAUUGUUAGUGCUUUAUUAUUUUAUACGAUAAAUAUGGGUCAAAAAAAUAAUUAAAGAAGAAAAAUGGAAAAGAAAAAUAAAAUAAAGAAGAACAUGGGUCUUGGUUAAUUAAAGAAGAAGAAAAGAAAAAAAAAAAAAAAAAACAUGCACAAAGUAAGGGUUGAACCCUAGACAUGCACAAUGCCACCUCAUGCAACUACCGUUAGUCUAUUUCAGUGCAUUUGUAUUUUUUGUCACGCAAAUCGUAUAUAUUAAAUAUUUAAAUGCAUUAUUUAUAAUAAAAAAUAAAUAAAAAUUGAGCCCCCAAAUUUUGGAGGCCCGGCUCAGUAGAGCUGUUUGCACCCCCUCAAGGCCGGCCCUGUACAAAAGUAAUGUCUCUCUAUAUCCUAGAGGGAGUGGCUACAAUGGGGAAGCUAUGUGUAAUUUAUUUUUUAUUUGCAUAGCUUAGUAUAUUUUAUGAAUAGUUACCGCAAUAAUAUAUAUUUAGCUACUAAAUGAAUUUAUUUUUCAAAAACUAAUAAAAAAAAUAAGAAAGUAAAAAGAAAUCAACUUAUUUGAUAGAUGUAUUUUGUCUUAUUUUCACACGUUCGAUCGCUUAGACAACUUUGUUGAGAUUUGGCUUCAAAUUUGUGAUCUGAAAGAACAGAGAAAUCGUGACACGAAUUUGGCAUCGUGACACGAUUUUGUGAUACCGUGAGCUAGUUAGCAGGGUGCCAAAUCGUGACACGAUUUUCAAACUUGCUGGUUAAGUUUUCAGGAUAAGGACUGGUCGUACCUUGUGACGUACGCAUCAAUCGUGACACGAUUUGGAAAUCGUGGCACGAUUUUAUCAGUUGAAGACUAGUAUUUAAGUGUUCUUGUGCAGAUUUUGAAGUGAGCUUGAAGAGAGAGAAACUUGGAUUACAAAGGAGGGAACUUUAGGGUUGAGUGUUUUUGUAUUGAGGAUCUCUUGGGUUGGGAAACAUUGUAAACACCUUGGGUAGUGAAAUUUCACCAUGGGAAGGAUCAAAAGCUUCCUUUUGUGUCUUCUCUUUUAGGGUUCACAUUGUGAGAGUGGGAAACACAAAUGGGUAGAAAUUAGGACUUGUUCUUGUGUAAGCUUGCAAGCUAUUUUUCUUGUAACCCUUUGUAACACUUUCAUCAUAGUGGAUUGGAGAGCUGCUCUCUCCCCAGAUUAGGUCAUAUUGGACCGAACUGGGUCAACAAUCUUUUGGUGUGUUUGUUCUUCCUUUCUUGCUUAUCUUUAUUGCUUUGUAUAUGCUUGUGGAGUUGCUCUACACUAGACUAGGUCUGUUUUUUGUUGUUGUUGCUUGGAGACACUUUACACAUAGAUUACCACUUCCUUUUGCACCACACAUCUUUGUUUACAUUGGUGUGAGUUUUGUCCGAAUUCACAACAAACUUCAGACAGAGCUUCUGCCAAAAAAAACACUACAAACGGAGCUUUAUUAACAUAAAAAAUUGUCAAAACAACAAUUAAAAUAUGUGCUAUUUUAUUUAUUUUUGACCCUCUCGUAAAAAAAAUAAUGGAUAGUUUUGCCACUUAGUAUACUUUGUUUGGAUGAAAAGAGAAAGUAAAAGUAAUUUUGAAAGAUUGUUAAACGACUGAAAACAGAUAGAAAGUAAGAUAUUUUUUUAAUUGUUUGAUUUGGGAGAAAGUAAGAUGAAAGAAAGGUUUUAUUGACUAAAAUGAUGAAUGAAGACGAAAUUUGAUAAUUUGUUGGCGUAGAGGAGGUCAUGAUAGGGUCAAUGUCAAAGAGUGGUUCAGAGGAAAGAUGGAAGUUGGAUUUAGGGGGGAUGGGGUGGCACAAAAAAUUGUUGAAAUAUUCAAAUAUGAGAUGUUUAAUAUUGAAAUAUAACUUAAUUCCAUUGACUUGUUAACUUUUUAGUCUAUUUAAAUAUAUGUCAGAUUACUUAGUUAAGGAUGUUAAUAUGAAUUUGUCUUUUAAGUAUGCUAACAUACUAUAUGAGAUUUUCUAAAACGUCGUACUCUAACUUAAAAUUAAAUCUAUGACAAGUAGUGAAUUUGACCUUAGCUUUAAAAAAUUUGAUAAGUCUGACUUGCGUCUUGCAAAGUCUAACUCAAUCGACUCAAACUAUUACAAUUCCUAGAGGCAUUUAGGUUGAACCAUCAAAUUAGUGGUUCAUGAUUCAUAAAACAUGUUCAAUAUUAAAUAAAAGUAUAGCGGAUGCAAACAAAUCAUUGAACAUGAUAUAAUCAACAACAUGUUUGAUUUAUCAAGGAUAACAAUAAUUAGGUAUUAGGAAUAUCUGAAUGAAGUUUUGAUGGCGGCCCUUUCAACAACAACGAUAUGAAUCAGAGAAGAGAAAUCGUGAUCUAAAAUACACUUCGGCCAUGAUAAGUAAAAGACAAGAAAAAAACAAUUAAAGGAAAACUCUAAAUUAAACGAAUGAGAAAAAAAUAUGACCUCGAUUUUCCACAAAUCCAUGACAAUGACGCCAAAAACUUAAUAUCCCUACAAGUGCAUGGUUUUAUCGUCGUAAAAAAAUAUCAGUCAUACUGAGACUUGUGUUCCUCAAAGUUAAUUUUUUUCUCAAAAGUAUGCAAUUAAAAGAUAUUUUUGAAUUUUUAUAAGAUGAGUGAUUUAGAAAUACUUGAAAAAAUGUUGUAAAUAUGCAAUGAUAAAAAUGCAUUGGAACCACUGGAGUUCAUCAUUACAGUUAAAUUUCUAAAUUAUAUUCCUUUCUUUUGUCUUGGGAAUGCAAGUAUAAAUACUCUCUCUGUUUUAUGAUCAGUGUCAUUUUAGCCAAAUAAAAUUAUUUUAAAAUGAAUGUCACUUUACAUUUCUAAUACAACUUUAAUUUUUUUCUUCCAACUUUACCCUCAAUAAAUACUCCAACUUUUCUCUCGCAUAAUUUUCAAUGCAACUUUAAAUUUGUCUUUUUCUUCAGCAGUUUAGUAAAAGUGUUAUCUCUAAUGAUUAUUUCAUUUUAUUUUUUAAUUUGUAUGCAAUUAACUAAAACGACACUCAUUUUAAAACGGAUGGAUUAUGAUAUGUUCUCUUUCGUAUCAAUUAAUCUAUUUCUAGUAAAAAGAAUAAGCGGCUCAUCAAAAUGGAAUCCUAUUCUCAUGUAUGACAUGUUAAGACGGAAUAUCCAUUACAUACCAAAAAAUUUUAGGAUAUUCUCAUGAUUCAACCCUUUUAUCUAAUCUUAAAUUCUCAUCAACCUUCUUUCACUCUCUCUUACCUGACUAAAUUUUGAUAAGCAAAAUUAAGAUUAUGAAAAUAAAAGAAUUAAUAAGAUUAUGAAAAUCUUAUUAAAAAUGGUUUAAACACGAUCAUCUAAGUUCUGCCAAACAAAACAAAAAAACCACAAAGUUUAAUUCAUUGGACUAUUAUGGUCAUAGAUCCAUUACGGCUGGUUGUAGCAACUAAUCAUUCAAUGCUUGAUAUUUGACUUCCUUGCUUACUUGGUGAUGAUGAUUUUGGGUGUUUAAUCCAUGAAAUUUGAUGGUUUGCUGGAUGAUUGCCCAUUAUUUGGCCAUUGAAAUGAGUCUUGAUUGCUUCAUAACUUGUCUUGGUCAACAAUUCUUCAUUGAUUGAAGUUUUUUUUUAUUUUUUUGGUGAUCUGAGUUUGAAUCGCGGACCUUGUAUAUAUUAUGCGUUUGUCCCAACCAAUUGGGCAAAACUCACGAGGAGGACCAUUGAUUGAAGUCUUUAAUUACCACCUUUUUGUAUAUAUCUCUUAAAUUUACUUAUUUAUUCAAAACAAAGAAAAUGUAGUAAAAUACAAAUAAAAAUUAAAUAAAAAUACUAUUUUAUUUAAUAAAAUAUUAUUUAUUUUUUGAAGAAAUUUAAUAAAAUAUUAUUGAAAAUACAUUAAAGUAUUGAGUUAUAUAUCUUAUAUAUCUCCAUCAACGGGGAGGAACUAUGCACUACCCACAUAAUUAGCUUAGCAAGGCUACGUUAUGUAGGCAACCUCAUUUUGGCCGCUACGAUUAGUAUUUGGCUAUAAACACUAAACACUUACUUCCUUCAUUGUUAAUUAUAAGUAAAUUUAACUUUUUAAGUUCAUUCAAUUAAUAAUGUAAAUUAUCAAUAUUAUAAUUGAUAAUGGAUGGAGUAAGUUGUAAAUAUUUAUUAACACACUCAACCAAUCAAACAAGAUUUUUACGUAAUUUAUCCUUUUGUCAUUUUGCUUUACCUUUUAUUUUCAUGCAUUUCUUAGUUCAAUAAAAAAAAAAACUCAAACCAUGCUUAACACUCUUUGGAGUUGUUAAGAUUGAAUCUAUAGUAGAACGGCAAGAUUCAUUCGUUAAUGUAAUCUUGUUAAAAAAACAAAAUCAUAGUUGAGAGUUAUUUGCAAAUAGCUCAACUACUUUUCAAGUUCGACAACAAUAAUAUUUUUUUUUAUAAAAAAAGUGUCACUUUCAAGUAUUAAUGUGUUACUAGUGUUGAUUAUAUUUUAUAAUUUUACAACCUCUGCUCCUUAUUAUAAGAAAAUUUUCAUAGAAUUUGUUCGGCUAUUUAUAAAAAAAUGUCAUAACUUUUAAUGUGUAUUUAUUGUUUAAACGGAAUUUCUGGCUCUUAUUUAAUGUUUGAGUUUUAAUAUUAAUGAGUGUAUUUAUAAAAAUAUUCAAAAAAGUUCAAUGAUUAACACGAGUAAACAAGAUUUGCAGCUCUCACAAUAGAAUACUCAUUUUCCUUCGUUCAUUCUUUUAUUUGAUGAAAUGCAUAUGAAUCUUGGAAAUGGGAUCUAUCAUUUUAGAACUAUUCCAUAUAAAUUGGUGGGAUUCACAUGUAUUUCACCAAAUAAAAAGGAGUGGGUAUUGUUAUGACGACUUCUUUCAAACAUUCAUACUUUUAUGAAUGAAUGUCCAGUUCAAUCCCUUGCUAGUUGUUAGUCAUCGACAAAAAAUGAUCCUUCUUAGUCCCUUACAAAAACAAACCGGGCCAAAAUAGUCUAUAAUCCAAUACCAAUCAUUAAACUAUACUGCAAGUGGAAGAAUAUAAGCCUAAUCUAGACUCCAAGUUUUUUGUGAGUUGGAUUUUGGAGGGGAAGGGAAGGGAAUGAAAGACUUAUGGAGUGGUAACCCUUGUUUGCGAGUUUUAAAAAAACAAAUGUUUUGGGGGGUUUUGAAGGGUUUCAUUUGUCCAAUUUUAAAGUUCCCCCAAAUUAGAGGGUUUUGGGGGGUUAAACAUACAAAUUGACAAUUUUGCCCUCUUACUAAUUUAAAAUUCCAUUUUUAGACAUUACUAAAAUUAUUACAAUCUUUUUUAAAAACAACUUAUUCAAAACAACUUAUUUAUACAAAACAGCUUAUUACGACCUCAUUUUCAAAAACCGCUUAUUCAAAACAACUUAUUUAUACAAAACAGCUUAUUACGACAUCAUUUUCAAAAACGGCUUAUUCAAAACAGCUUAUUUAUGCAAAACAGCUUAUUACGACCUCAUUUUCAAAAACGGCUUAUUCAAAACAGCUUAUUUUUACAAAACAGCUUAUUACGAUCUCAUUUUCAAAAACAGCUUAUUCAAAACAGCUUAUUUAUGCAAAACAGCUUAAUACGAUCUCUUUUCCAAAAACAGCUUAUUCAAAACAGCUUAUUUAUACAAAACAACUUAUUACGACCUCAUUUUCAAAAAUCGCUUAUUCAAAACAACUUAUUUAUACAAAACAACUUAUUACGACCUAAUUUUAAACAACUGCUUAUUAAAAAAGAGAUCGUAUUAAGCUAUUUUGCAUAAAUAAGCUGUUUUGUAUAAAUAAGUUGUUUUGAAUAAGCGGUUUUUGAAAAUGAUGUCGUAUUAAGCUAUUUUGUAUAAAUAAGCUGUUUUGAAUAAGCUGUUUUUGAAAAAGAGAUUUUAUUAAGCUGUUUUGCAUAAUAAGUUGUUUUGAAUAAGCUAUUUUUGAAAAUGAGGUCGCAUUAAGCUGUUUUGCAUAAAUAAGCUGUUUUUGAAAAUGAGGUCGUAAUAAGCUGUUUUGUAUAAAUAAGUUGUUUUGAAUAAGCGGUUUUUGNNNNNNNNNNNNNNNNNNNNNNNNNNNNNNNNNNNNNNNNNNNNNNNNNNNNNNNNNNNNNNNNNNNNNNNNNNNNNNNNNNNNNNNNNNNNNNNNNNNNNNNNNNNNNNNNNNNNNNNNNNNNNNNNNNNNNNNNNNNNNNNNNNNNNNNNNNNNNNNNNNNNNNNNNNNNNNNNNNNNNNNNNNNNNNNNNNNNNNNNNNNNNNNNNNNNNNNNNNNNNNNNNNNNNNNNNNNNNNNNNNNNNNNNNNNNNNNNNNNNNNNNNNNNNNNNNNNNNNNNNNNNNNNNNNNNNNNNNNNNNNNNNNNNNNNNNNNNNNNNNNNNNNNNNNNNNNNNNNNNNNNNNNNNNNNNNNNNNNNNNNNNNNNNNNNNNNNNNNNNNNNNNNNNNNNNNNNNNNNNNNNNNNNNNNNNNNNNNNNNNNNNNNNNNNNNNNNNNNNNNNNNUUUUUUUUUUUUUUUUAUAAAUAAGUUGUUUUGAAUAAGUUGUUUUUUAAAAAUAGAUCUUAAUAAUUUGUUUUUCAUGCGAUAAGUUGUUUUAAAUAAAUUAAAAGUUAAAUUACGAAGUAUAACAAUGUAUUGUUUUUAAGAGGAAAAAAGGUAAAAUAGUAAAAUUAUAACAUAAGUCCUCCAUCUCCUUUCCUUAUUGGCUUUUUAACUUCCAAACAAGGGGAAGGUUUUCCCUCCUUUCUCCCUUCCCUCCCUUUCCUUCCCUUCCCCUCCUUAACCUUUCCUUUCCUUCCUCUCAAAACUCGCAAACAAAGCCUUAGCAAAAUGCAAGUGAAUCCUACCAUUUUGGAAAUGGACCAACGAUAAAUUGGUGGGAAUCAACUUGAAUUUCACUAAAUAAAAAAGGUAAUGUUUGAAUGAGAGUUAUAAGAGAUAUUGUUGUUUGCACUAUUCAUAGUAAAUAAAUCAAACUUUUUUGGUAUCUUGCUAACUAGUGUUAUCAAGGCAAUGGUUAAGGAAUCCACAAUUAAAAAUUUUGCUUUGAAAAUAUAAGAUGUUAUUUUUGAUAAAGUAAUAAUUACACGAUUUUUUCAUGAAAAUUUACUUAUUUUAUAUGUUUAACCAUUGCCUUUGAAACAUUGGUUAGCGUUCUCCAAUUUUUUUAUUAAAUAAAUAUACCAAACUUGAUAAGAGUAAUCUAGAAAAAAUAGUAUCAGGAUUGUAAAGGAAAUGGUAUUAUCUUCUUUUAUCUAUAUGUUUUUUAAUAUAUGUGAAAUAAUGAAAUAUAUUUAUCAUUCUCGAUUUUUAUGAACUUUUGGUUUUUUUUUUUUAUGUAUUUAAGUGUUUUAUUUUCUUUUAAUUAAGUGAUUGUGCUUAAAUGAUUAAUGAGUUUUAUAAAAAAAUAAAUUGUUCGAAAUAAUCCGAGAUCAAUCCUUAGAUAAAAUAAUUUUUGUCAGAUUUUACUUAUAUCUUGGCCAAACUUCUGUUUUUAUAAAAAUCAAAUGAACACAAAAAUAAAUGUGGUUUAUAUGAAUCUUAAUAAAUUGAACACUCAUUAACAUUUUCCAUGAUGUAUUUAAACUCCACUUUAUCUAACUUACAUACACUAUCAAUUUUUGGUUGUUAACUUUGGAGUGCUUAUCAUCCAUGUGGCUUUUGACAUUUUUAUUGAUCGGGUUGAAACACGUCUUUAAUAUACACACUCAAUAUAUCGCUGAAUAAUCUAAUGUGAGACAUGUUAUUUGAGCAUUAUCUGAUGUUUAAACACUACUGCUGUGUUUAUUUAUUUGUGUUUACUGUCAAUUAGAUAGGUCUGAACACAAUAAUACAAAACCAUAAUUGUUGAAAUAAAUUUUCUCUGGAAGAAAAAUACGUGCUUCCGACUUCGUAUUAACUAUCUGUCUCCAUAUUUAUUUUCUAGGUUAAAUUUACAGAUCUUAAGAUUAAUGCACGGGUGAUUCCGAUGCUGCAAUGCAACCCAAAAGCUUCGUGCUAUCAAUACGUAUCUUACUCCAACUAACACUAACAGAUUAACAGUAGUGUAACUUUUUUUGAAAGAAACAAACACUGUAAAAUUUAGUUAUUGCAAUUCGUACGAAAACAACUAAUCAUUAUCAGAUUAUUUAGUUUUUGAAACAAACACUGGAAAAUGUUUUUUUGACCCCAAUCAGCAUCACCUGCUUCCUUGUUGUAAGUUUUAAUAUUUCUUUCCUUUUUAAUUUUCAUUUUAUUAUUAGAUGAAUUGAGUUCUAUAUAAAAUGGUGAGACUCGGACAGAUUUCAACCCAAAAAAUGUGAAUAUUUGAGAGAGCUUUGUCAACACUAUCAUAUUUAGGUCUUGCUAACCGGAACUCAUGAGUUAGUGAUUAAAGAAUCCAUAAAUAAAAGUUUUUGGACAAUUUUUUCUAAAGGGAUAAAAUUCAAAUGUACAUUAUAAAUGGGGAAGUGGCUCAACAAGACGAAGAAGAGAAAGUUCGAAAAUACAUCGAGCUUUGGUACGAAUUGUGAAAUGACUUUUUUCUUUUUCUUUUUCUUUGAGAGGAAUUGUGAAAUGACUUCAUCACUCUAAUUUUAUUUUAUUUAUAUAAAACGUGCACUCCAUUUAUAUAGUUAGGAUAUGAACCUGAUUGAACUUGCAAAGGGCAAACACUGGUGUAAGCAAAACAUGUUAUGGAGAUCUGACGUAGAUUGAAACCGAAAAUUUUUAAACAAGAAUUUAAGGUUGCAAUUUCUUUAAAGUAGAUUUAUUUCCACUUUUUAUAUUACAAAAUCUACUAUUUUACUUUUUUCUUCUUUUAAUUAGAUUUAUUUAAAUGAGUACUCAAAACCUAUGACAAUAAAACAAAUUUCUUUUGUCUUGCUUGCCAUACAAAUUAACCAAGAUCAAAUUAAUCACUUAAAAAACCAACCAUCUCCUCCGUAUUAUAGCUAUUUUCAUGUUGAAAAGUAUGAUAUUCCGCUUCAAUCAAAUGCACAUAGUAUUGAUAACUAAACUACAUGAGAUUUUUUUUUACUAAAGAUGGCAAAUGUUCAUAUUUAUUUAGACCUUUUUGGAGUCACACUUAAAAUAAAAUAUGCUCUUUAAAUGAUAACCAGUUUUAAAAUGUGAAAAUUCAUUAUCUACAUAACAAAUUAGACUAAUUAUUAGGUGGAACUUGGCUAUAUGUUUUAUGCAAAGUAAAUAUGUCAGAUGUCUUGUGGAUGAAAAGAGAUAAUAUUUGGUGCUACACUACAUGUCAAUCUUGUCUUGUAAGAAAAGUUAAGUCGGUUUGUGUAAAUACAUAUAUUAUACAAUACUCAUGUGCAUCACUGUAUUUUCGCUUGAAAGGUUGAUUACAUUCAUAUACUUUACCAAACAGUAGUAAAUGAAUAUGAAAAAACCAUAUGUGUGAAAACUUAAUAUUGUGAGUGGAGGGUAUGGUGCCCCACAAAAUUAAAUUCAACACGUCUAAUAGGUAUAUAUGCAUAAUGCUCUUUCCAAAACUUCUUUAAAAAUCAUUGACAGGUCUUCUUUAUUAAUGAUCAAAAUUCUGUUGCACUAAUAUUGUCCAUGUAUAUUGGACUUCUUCUGGUGGGGUGGUUUCAUGACCUUUCAGAUAAUCCCAAACUAUAUAUAUAAAUAUAUAUAAAAGUGAUUUUUCACAUGCUUUCAACUUUCUUUUUGUUUCGUUAGUUUUGUGAUUUCGUCGUCUAGUACAACUUUGUUUAUUUUUAUUUUCCGUCUUUGUGCAUUAUGUUUUUAAUUUUCCGUCUUAGUACGACAUUUAUUUGAUUCAGGUUAAAUGAUUAGUUUUGGUAAAGUGCAGAUUCAAUCAAUGAUUUUUGUGCCGUCAACGUUGCAGAACCGAAAACAUGAGUAUUUUGGUGGCUUGAAUAUAAUCAUAUUUGUACGCAUAUGUACUUUGCCGUUUUAUGCUAUUAACAUUGAUAUUGUGAUUUUAUUAGCAUAUGAUCAUCCUUUCUGUUUUGAACGAUUUUGAAUUUGUAUUGAGUCGAUGUAUAACUUUAUCAAUUUGAAUGAGUGAAUAUCGUUUAUUUUUGUCAAAAAAAUAAUAAUAUAAUAAAGGUAGUUAGAAAAGGCUCAAUAUCAAACAAUUAUCUGGUGUGUAAAAUAAUAUGAAUGAUAGUCCGUAGAGAAUUGCCGUAAGUCCGAGCAAAAAUGACAUUCCAACAUGGACACGAACAUAAUAAAAGAAUUUUAAUAGAAAGUGAAAAAUAUUUGGCUCAAAUUCUCACCAAUUAUGUUAUAGAGAAAAGAGAUGGUGAAUGGGUCAAAAAAGAGAGAUAGUGAUUAUGAUGAGUAUCUUUCGUAGUAAGCUGCAGUAGUUAUCGUACUCUUGAACUUCAAGGUAAACUAACCAUUGAUGUGAUGGUCGGAAUGGAUUAAAUUUUUUUUUUUUUUAAUGAAAAGGUCAUGUAAUUCAUGUAAAAUUAAAAAACAAGUAUAGUUACGAGUAGCAAUAGUAAAUAAUUUGUGAAUGUUUUGAUAGGAAUCUUAAAAUGACUGGAAAUAAAAUAACGAAGAAAUAAAUUAAUAAGCUAUCUCUCAUUCAGCGUUUAUUUAACAACAUUAGCUUGACGCCGCAACCAUUGUUAGUGUGUCUUAUAUGAAAGAAAGAACGCAUCAUCCUUCAUUUUCCUCAUAUUUGGUAGAAACUUCAUGAAUUUUUUCAUACAUAAGCCAAUGUUCCGUCAGCAGGCUUUCGGAAUUUGUGUUCUUCAUUCUUAUAGGACAAUGAGACUCUUGUUGCAAAUGAAUCUUCCUUUCAAUCUUCAAUGCCACGAAGUUUGUUGGGAAGAAAGUCUUGUCUACUUGCACCACCACGUCCACCACUACUCCUAAUGAAUGUUUAAUUGUUAUAUCUUGACCACACUGAGCUUCUUUUGGACAACUUUCCAAUAUAGUGUAAACUUCCUGGGUUACUUUUCUUUGGAGGAUAAAAUCUUUGUCAAUAAAUGUUUCGAUUACAGUGGCAUUCUCCUUAUCUCCUCAUCUGAGCUUUCUGGUUCCGACAAAUUUCUGUGAGCAUCACAACUUUGUCUUGUUCCGACAAAUUGUUGAUGGUUACUUUGAUUAAGGAUGUUGCUGCCGAAAUUAAGCUAGCAGAAGCUAAUUCAAUUUAAGGCACUUUGCAUUUCAUAUAGCAAGCUUUCUGGUUGUUAACCAAUCCUUCCCAAUCUCUUUCUCUGAGUUGGAUCAUCUUUGCCGAAUAUUUCUUUUUAAUAUCUUGUGUCUUCACUUUCAUUCGGGUCUUCCAACAAGAAGGGUAUUAUAUCUUCCCACGAAGGUGGUCUGAGUACUACCCUUCGUGUUAGAAGACCCGAAUGAAAGUGAAGACAUAAAAUAUCUAAAAGAAAUUGUGUUAUUUGAACAACCAUUUAUAUAUAACAACUUUUGAGACAAUUAAAAUUUUAGAAAGAAAAUGAGGUAUUGACACAAAAACUAAAACAAUAAAGAAAGAAAGUUAAAACAUAAUAUAAAUAUGAAAGAUAAAAUUAUCACAAAAUUUAUCAAAAAAUAGUUGUACAAAUAUCAUUUCUCAUUGUUGUGAUGAGUAAAUUGAUUUGUAGUAAAAAGUUUCAUGAAUUGUUGCUUGAAACAACAAUAAACCAAAAUAUCCAAGUAACAUUGUACUAUCUAAAAGUGAAAGAAAGUUAUUGUUAUUACUAUUAUUAAUUUUCUUGUUUUUAUUUUUGAUUAAAAAAAAUAAACAGCCGAAAAAGUAAAUAAAUAAAGUGCCUGAAUAAAAUGAAUGAAAUAGAAUAAAAAUGAAACCAAUCUUUCUGGUAUUUGAUAAAUAUGAGAAUUAGAAAUAACUAAAUAAAAGACUUAUAUUAAUUUAAUCCAACAAUUAUAUAGAGGUUCAUCUUAGAACUCUACUCAAAAGAUAUUUAAUUAGGUAAUAAAAGGCAUAAUACAAAUGAGAAAAAAGGUUCGGGAGAAACUCCUCUUUGAUGUUUCUAGCACUUGUUUUCCUCUUGAACUGUCAAGUUUUGAAUGACUAUUUGAGAAUGGAACGGGUUAUAUUUAUAGACAUAUUUUAUGCUCAGUUUGAGUUGAAAAUUUGUGCUUUUUCCCAAACCUGCAGAGGAAACAGAGCAAAAUCUUGCUUUUUUUUUUCUUUCUCGAAACAAUGGCAACUGACUGAGAGCAACAUGCUCUUUGUUCUAUGUGUUGGGCAUAUGAGGCACGCGUGGGACGCAUGGCCUCAACCUCCGGUGCUAAUUUUGCAUUUUUUUCUCCGGUUCUUCAAAUGUUUUCCUUCAUCGAUUUGGUCAUGGGAUUGAAUUUCCCCACUUAAUGUCUUCAAAGCCUUCUUACAUAUUGAUGAAUUUCAUUCCAUGUCUUUCAAAACUUCCAUUAGGAGUCAUAAACACCUAUGAAAUUGUCUAGUUCAAGUAAAAAAUGAAAUUGAAUGACGUGAUUGAAAACAUUACAAAAUGUACGUUAGACCAUGAACAACUUCUCUAAAACUCUCUUUAUUGACUCAAAUGAUUGAUGAAAUGACUGAAAAAUCUACUAAAAAUAACGUAAAAUGAUAUAUAUAUAUAUAUAUAUAUAUAUAUAUAUAUAUAUAUAUAUAUAUAUAUAUAUAUAUAUAUAUAUAUAUUGUCGGAUGUAAUUAGGUAUUUGUUUUGGAGUUUGUGUAUUGGGGGCCAAUGGAUGAGUGGUAUAUGUGUUGUAACAAUUUGCAUAUAAUGUUAUUCUCUCGUUGCCAUUAGAUAGCAAUCAUAGUUUUUCUUUUGUUUUAGAUUUUCUACGUUAUAUUUUAGUGUUUUUGUGUUGUGCUUAUAUUCGUUUAUUUUAUCUAUGUCGAUUUUUACAACAAAUUGAAUCAAUUUAUUAGACAACUCUAGUUAGUAUCAACCGAUACCGACUCAUAUUUGAAGAAAAGAGAUAACCCAAAAGAUAAGGAACCCAAAAUUAUAUUCCCUUAAGUUUUGUGCAUUCUAUUUAUUACAAAUUUAAAAAUUAAAUUUAAUACACACAUUUUAAUAAAAAAAAUACUACUAUAUUUGAUUUUUGGCAAAUGCUAACAUGUGCUCAAGAAGGAUACAGAGUUGUUAAGAUAAAGUAUAGAUAUUGAGUGAGCUUAAUAAUUUAUGGAAUUGGACUCGAUCACAUUGGCACAUCUGAGGGACAAAGUCAAGCUUUAUUCCUUGUAACGCUGGUACACAGAUAGAAAUUAACUUCUGCGCAAUAUGAAUUUCAAAACAAUGAUGAUUCAAGAAUAAAUAUUAGAAAAGAUCUUAAGAUUGAAUCUUUAUCGGCAAGUGAGCACAAAAUCAACUUAGAGAAGAAGGAACAAAUUAGAUCAAGGUCAUUUAUAAUGAAUAACACACAUAUUGAUGGCGGAACAUACAAAAAACUGGCUCAUAUACGGCUGUGUUUAGUAACACAAACAAGUUAGAUUAUAAUUUGUUGGACUAGCUUAUAAGCUUGUUUUGAUAGAAUGUGAUGUGUUUGAUAAAAAGUUUUUUCACUAGUUUAUAGCGUUUUUUAAGAAGCUAAUCCAAGUAGCUUUUGAGCUUGUAGCUUAUAACUUUUUAUACUUUCUUCCAAUUUUAACCUUUUCUUAAUUUGAUUUUAUAUUUUUAUUAUAGAAAAAACUACCCAUGUUCUUCUGUGCGCUACCCACGUUUACCAAAUUAGGGCAUGGCUUUUUAAAUUUUCUUCUUCACUUUUUUGUUUUUUUAUCUUGCUCAUAAUUUAUAUAAUAUUUAAUUUUAAAAAUUUUAAUUUAUUGAAGAAAGUUUAGUUAAAUUAAAUUCAUAAAAAAAUCAAAGUUUUUAAAUAAAAAAAGCGAUUGAAUUCAUAAAUACAUUUAUCAUUUUGGAGAUGAAAAUAAUUUGAAAUAUAUUUAAAUAUUUAAAAAUAAAUGUGUUAAGUAAUAAAAAUUAUAUAUAUGAUAUUAAAAAAAUUAAACAAGCAUGUCCUUUUAUGUCAUUUUAUAUUUAUCAGCCACUUAACAGCUAAUUUUACCAAACACUUUUAAUUUUAAUAAGCCAACUUUUCAGCUAUCAGCUAUCAGCCAUCAGCCAUCAGCUAGCUUAAUAUUUAUUAAAUAUCUAAUGUAUUUAGUUUAUAUUAUUGACCAAUACAAUAGAUAUUCAAUCCAUCUAAAAUAUAGUUUUUUAUUUAUAAAUGUAACCCAGGAAAAUAGAUAACACGGAUGUGAAUUCACCACAAUUUAUCAAGCUUAAUGGUUGUAAUUUGAAGAUAGAUAGUCCAAAAUUCAGACCAAUAAAUAAUUGGACAUAUUCCUCCUUCUUAGUUAAGGCAAAUUCUAUGGUACAAUCAAUAUAUUUGAGUGUACCGGUACACACCCACUCUUUAAAUUAAUAGUUAAAUAAGUCGUUUUUUGAAGAAAAAUAUUAUUUUUUAUCAUUUAUAAUUAUAAUAACUAAAUCUUAUUCAUAAAAAAUGUCAACAAAAUAAAAUUAUUAUUUUUUGAAUUUUUAUCACUCAUAAUCGAGAACAUUCAUUAUUUUUUAUGAUAAUAUGUAAAAAAAAUUACUAUAAUUCUUAUAAACAAUGAAAUGGUGUUUUUUCUUAUGAGAUGAUGUUCUAUAAAUAAAUUUUGACAAAUAGCUAUUAAUUACAUAAAAAAUUAUCGUUAAUUAUAAAAUUAUGAAGCAAGAGUACCGAUACACCUCACUUUAUGAGUGUACCGUAGAAGUUUCCCUGUUAAUCAUACACAUUUAAAUUACCAUUGAAUUAUUAUGGAUGUGAGACUUUUGUUUUUUCCACCUAAACCUUAUGCAAACCAAACAGACUAUAAAUCAGUACGUACCAAGCCAUUUUUAAUGGAGUGCAAAAAUAUAAAUAUCUUAAUUGAGGCAAAGCAAAUAUUAUAUUUUCUUUUUGGGUGGGAGGCAAAUAUAUAUUACUAGUCCUUUUAAUUUAAAGUAAAUAUUAUAUAUAUAUGAUCGUUAUAUUACUAUCCGUUAUGUAUUCAGAUACAUACCGGUAUGGAAAAUAAAGAUACAGAACCUCACUACAAAAGUCACGUACAGUGCAUCAUAAUUACUACUUAAAUGUACAACCAUAUGCAACACAUUUAUCCUCUAUAUAUAACGUCGCUCUCCUAGAUGUUUUCUAUCAUUGAACAAUUUAUUGGUUGUGUCUUACAUUGUCUUUUAUUUGACUAUCUUUGUGCAAUAAAUCUCCCAAAACAUUCACUUGUUGGUUUUGUUCUAUAGUCUAGAGGUUGAAAAAUGGGUAGGUCACCUUGUUGUGAGAAAGUUGGAUUGAAGAAAGGACCAUGGACUGCUGAGGAAGACCAAAAACUCAUAGCUUAUAUUGAAGAAUUUGGUCAUGGAAGCUGGCGUGCAUUGCCUGCAAAAGCUGGUUGGUAUUUAAUAUAUUUUUCUUCAAGAUAUAUAUGAUAGUAUAUGUUUUGUGUAUAACUUUUUUUUUUAAUAAGUUUAUUAACAUUUUUGAUAAAAAGGGCUUCAAAGAUGUGGAAAGAGCUGCAGACUAAGAUGGACUAACUACCUUCGACCAGACAUAAAAAGAGGAAAGUUUAGUUUGCAGGAAGAGCAAACUAUUAUUCAACUUCAUGCCCUUCUUGGAAACAGGUAAAUACACACUUUUACACUAGCUGAGCACAUAUAAAGCAAAAAAAUAACUAACACUCUCUCAUAUACUCCAGUUAGUUACCACAUGAAUGAUUGCUUACUAUACUACAGUACUCAUCCUAACUUGGAAAGUUGACCACUAUAGUAGUAUAUGUAGCUUUUAUAUAUGGAUGUAUAUGUUACAACAACCAAUAUGCAGUUCAUAGUCUCUCAAAAAGAACAAAAGUCCUAAUUUCAAUAUUUCACCAAAAAUCUAAAUUAUUUAAGUUAAGAGAAUUAAAUCAUUUCUCUCUCUCUUGAAUCUACACGUUACUUUUAACUAACAUACAACUGAUCUAAGUAGUAAGGUACUCAGACGCUUAAAUGAUUAUCUUCAUUUAAGUCUCUUUCAAUUUUUUCCAUUUGAAAAGAUAAACACAUAAAAAAGAUUGAAAAAAUAACAAUUAAUGGUGGUAAAACACACUUAAUAGUGGGAUGUACUAUCUAUUUUUUGUGUAUAUCUUUCUAAAUAACAUCUGAUAUAAACGAUACUUUGUAUCUAUAAUAACUUUUUAUAAUAAAAAAGGACAUGUUGCACUUAUGAGGCAGUCCUAAAGCAUGUCCGUUCAAGGGCUUGAGGAGCCAGCAUGUGUUGAUGUACCUGGUUCAUAAGUUUUGCAUUUGAUAUAACUCACUCAUCCUUACAUAUUCAACUUAUAAAAUGAAUAUGAUGUCAUUUUUUAUUACUUUUUGUUAGUGGACUUAAAUUUUUCCAUUAAUAAAUGAUUACAUAGUGAUGUAUAGAUGAUUUGAGUUAUGUUUUUGUUAUGAUUGAUUAUGUGCACACAGAUGGUCAGCAAUAGCAGCACAACUUCCAAGAAGAACAGACAAUGAAAUCAAGAACUACUGGAACACACACCUCAAGAAAAGACUAACAAGAAUGGGAAUAGACCCAACAACUCACAAACCAAAACAGGAUCAUUCACCUGGAAGUUCCACUUCUCAGUACACCAAAGACUCAGCUAACCUCAGUCACAUGGCUCAAUGGGAGAGUGCUCGUUUGGAAGCAGAAGCAAGACUUGUUAGAGAAACCAAUAAACUGAAAGUUCAAAGACAACUUGAGUUUGAAUCCUCCAAACCACAGCCACCUGCAAGACUUUUUCUUAACAAAAUCACUCCACUCAUUCAACCUUCACUUCCACCUUGUCUUGAUAUUCUCAAAGCAUGGCAAAGUUCAUGGUCCAAACCAACAACAAAAGAUGACUCAAACAAUAACAACAACAAAAUGCAUAGUAUGUAUGCUAUGAUGUUAUCCAAUGAUGAUCUUGAAUCUCCAACAUCCACUUUGAACUUUCCUGGAACAACCUUGCUUCCUUUACCUCUUUCUGUUCCUAUGACAAACAAUAAUAUUGAACCAUUCAAUCAAAGUUUACUUCCUUUGACCAACAGCACCAAUAAUGAUGAUGAUGAUGAUGAUGAUGAUAAUGAGAUAUGGAAACAAUUCAAUUUAACUAAGCAUAACACAGAAGGUGGUCAUGGUCAUGAUAACAAUAACACUAUGUUGAACUUUCAGCAAGAUGAUGAUAUUAUGGCGGCUGUGGAAGCAUUUAGAGCAAGCGGUGGAUUUGAUAAUAAUAUUAACACCCCUCCUAUUUCAACAAAUGUUCUUCAAGUUCUUGA